RNAcentral lists this long non-coding RNA (57406 nucleotides) under Lactuca sativa (garden lettuce). RNAcentral's name for it is "long non-coding RNA (LSAT_LNC005286)". The record is from RNAcentral. Lineage: Eukaryota; Viridiplantae; Streptophyta; Magnoliopsida; Asterales; Asteraceae.
CUUAUAGAAUAUGCUAGAUUCUAACAUUUUAUGCAAUGAUCCUUUCGUAAUUUCACUGCACUAAAAUCACAAUGACUAUUGCCAAUGAAAUUACAAUGUCCUCUAUUGGAUAUUGUUACAAGACAAUUCCUUAGAUGUGAUGUCUCUCACUCAAAGUACAUUCCUUUGAACAUCCUUUUGCAUAAAAGUUUCUAAUCUAGACAUAGAUUUUCAAUAUUCAAUUCCCAAUAUGGAAACGUUUCCAUAUUUUCCAUAUGACAACUCAUUCUUAAUAGAAUCUUAUCUAUUCAUAAUAAUGUCGAUAUGGUCCAUCCAAUACUAUACUUCCAACUACUCACAAGCGACCAAUCCUCGGCGAACUUUGGAUUGUCCUUUGAUAGUUGUUUAAUUAUCUUAGUCAAAACCGAUUCUUGUCCUUUUUCCCUCUAAAUGCGCUAGACAUUUGGAAAAUUUUAGAAUGGUCAAAUAUUAUAGCAUUUGCAAUCGAUCCUAUACCCGAAGCGUAUGGGACACGAUGCAUAAUGUCUUACAUAAAGAUUUGAUACUUUAUCAAUCUUCUGCCAUAAUAUUUUAUGUGCUACGUUCUUAUAAUUCGAAUUAUGAAGAGGAAUGUCGUAAUCAUAAUCGAAAUUUAAGAACACACUAUGUAUCCUUGACUAAAUUUAUUAACAUUCCACAACCUAAGCCUUUAGAUUUGAAAUGAAGCAUAAUAUUCUCUCCCUUAAUUAUAGCAAAACAACUUUUCAACCCUUACAACUUUGCAAAGUAUGACUCUUGUUUUCUAUAAUUAAUAUUGCUAACUUGCAAUACUUGCCUUAAUAAUCAUACAAUCAUAACAUUUAUGCUCCCACUAUCAUGAUGAUUAUUAUAAACAUAACACUUAUGCUCCCACUAGCUUUGACAUGCAUUCAGAAACAGCUUAACUUUCAGAAAAACAAUACCUAUUGAAUUUCUUAAGUUCAUGUUUCUAACACCUAAUGCUUUGAUAAUCCUUUAUCUAAGCUUAUACACUUUUCACUUAGAUAGCUCAUAUGUGUGUCUAAACAAUUUAGACUAAUUGCCAAAUCUCACAAUUUGAAUCAUGGAAAGGGAUACCGUAACCAUAAUCGAAUUUAAGAAUGCAAUUUUCAUAAUCACUAUCUUCCUAAAAUCUUUCUUAGUGAAAGAAUUUCCUCACAGUCAUUUUCAUGAAGGAGGGAAUCUUAUGACACUUAGAUUUUAAUGGUGUAUGUGUUCCUAUCCGAGUGAAUUUGUCAAAACCAAACUUUAUGACAAAUUCAAACUCAUAUGGACUGAACCUUUUCAAUCUUGAUUUCUUGCCUUAUGGUAACACAGCUGCCCACCAUGUCUUCCAAGUAGUUAAGCACCUCACCUUUUCCUAUCAAUGUACUUUUUAUUGAUCAAGGUCCUUGCCUUUUAUGCAUUCAAAUGAGAACUCAUAGAAACCUCAUGCAUAAUUAACUCGAUUGGAACGGCAUAGAAACAAGAUAGUGUCAACACGAUAGGUUGCAAACCUCAACUCGUGUGCUAGUGAUGAUUGAUAAGAUUUAUUCUUGAUUAGUUCUUGAAACUUUUCGAGGAUCAUUAAGUCUCCCACUAUCACAACUAGCAUUUUUAGCUAGAAAAUUCUAUUCCAAUAUAAACAUCAACCAUUGUAAGGCAUGCUCUCUAAGUGAAAAUCACACUCUAUGCUCAAUCAAAAUCAUCCAUUUGAAAUCAAAACUUUCUCAAGAGGUUCAAGACCUAAUAGAAUAUAUCUCAUAUGUUCAAAUAAGGGUUGGAAACCCCAGAAAUCCCGGUUCAAGUUCAUUAUGAACUAGGAUUCUCUAAAUAGACCACAUUCAUAAAACUUUAUCAUUUUGGGCCAUGUGGGCCUAAAAUAAUCCAUAUUAUCUCUAAUGAGCCUUAUUGGGCCGUAACAAAUUCAAUUAGCUUUAAUGGACUCAAAUCCAUUCCUUUAUGCUAAUUUGGGCCGUGAACAUCCUUAGAAGCCCAGUGGGCCGAAAAAUGUUAUUUGAGCCUCAUAAAUUCGAGUAUGGGCCCAAGAUGAUUCCUUCCCUCUCUCCUUAGCCCAAUCGGCCCAUGUUAAAAAAAAAAAAGAAAAGAGAUAAGAAUGGUGAAGGAAAUAAAAACAAAAUUGGAAAUUAUGAGAAAUUUGUGAGGAUGCCACCUUCUUAUUGCAUGGUGGAAAUCCAUGAAAUGUCACCUCACUUCUCUCCCCUCCCUCUCUUCUUCUUAGCUCUCGGCCCCAAAGGAAGAACACACACACACACACAAUUCACUUAAGUUUUCUCUCAAGAACUGACAACAACUUCUCCUCUUCUUCAUCAAAAUUUCGAGAUCUUGGAACAUUUCAAGGAGAUCCUUCCACAAAAACCAUCAUCCUAGGUAAAUUUUUGCUUAGAUCCAUGGUUUAGCUUCUUUAUUUCUUCAAAAUAUCCUUUUAACUCAUUCCAUUUCAUGAAUCAUACAUCUUAGAGCCAUCUAAGUUGUAAAGUUCCUCAAGAAGCUUGCUAGGACCAAAAACCUCUUCACAUCUUCACCAAAACCCGGGAACAACAAAUCAAGGUGAGUUCAUACCCCCUUGUUUUCUGUUUUACUUGUUUUUUGGGGAGAAUACAAGUCUUAUGUGUAGAUCUAUGUAUAUAUGCAUGAUUAUGUGUGUUUUCUUGAAACAAUUGGUGAUUAUGUGUUGAUUUCUUCACUAAUCUAAAAUUAUGUUAAGAAACUUGAAGUGUAUCACUAGGAUCUUCAUAUGAAUCAUGAGAAAAGUAUGUUUUAUCUCAUAUAGUACAUGUUAACUUGUAGAUCUGGGAUUUGUAUACUUGAUAUAGCAAAAAUGAGUGUUGUGUUCAAGGAUCUAUAAACUAAACUCACAAAACAGCCCUUGACAGAAACGUUUUGGUCCAUUCUCGGACUGUUUUGACCCUCCCAAUGGAAUUAUUUUUCAAAACUGUUUUACAUGGAUAAAGUUCAGAUUUAUACCUUUAAAAUGAUUACUCUCACGUUUUCAUAAGAUUUUUCUACAAUUUUUGGUGAAUUUUACAAAACUGCCUAUCAAAUUGAAAUACUUUCGGACCAACCUGUGAAUGUGAGAAAUUUCACACUAGUUUGAGGCCAUUAAAAAUUUUGAGAAAAAUUGUGAACAAAAUAGACAAGUUUUCCAAACUUCCUACAAAUUUUCCAAAAACUAGGUCGGAAAAGCCUAAAACCAGAAAAAUAUGUAUUUCCACAAAAAUCAAGCCAAAAAUGAUAUUUUUGACACAAAUGGGUUUAAAGUGUUAUUUUUAUCACAAAGUAGUCAUCAACAGAAGUUUUUAAUAAAAUUGGAGGCUAAAGUGUUACUCUUACAAAAAUUGGGCCUUAAUUGUAAAUUUUUGGCUUAUUGGGCCAAGAACGCCAUUUUUACAAAAAGGUGGGAUUUUUAUAUCAAAUUUGUAAAUAAGCAAGCUAAAAUAAACAAAACAAUAACAAACGGGAUUAAAAACGAUAUUCAUACCCUUGUUGGGCCUAGAAAUAAUAUACACGUUUAGUGGGCCUUAGUGUCCUUUUACAUGUAUAUUGAGCUCGGGAUAGGUAUUCAUAUCCUUAUUGGGCUUGGAAAUAACAUACAUGUUUAGUGGGCCUUAGUGUCCUUUUACAUGUAUAUUGGGCUUAGGAUAGACAUUCACAUUCCUUUUGAGCCUGGAAAUAAUAAGACACGUAUAGUGGGCCUUAGUGGUCCACCUACAUGUUUAUUGGGCCUGGGAAUGGGUUUUAUAUGCAUUCUUCUUUUUAUGCUAGUUUAGUGAAUACUUGAACUAAAACCAAUGAUAAACCAACAAAUGGAUUUAAUUUGAUCAUUUUCUAGGUUAAUGGGCCUUAGUGACCCAGUUUUAUGUGUGAGAGUUCAUGUAUAUAAUUUAUAUGUUUAUUGGGCCUCAUUGACCCUUUAACAUAUGCGACGGACCUUGGAUACUAUUUGUGUGCCAUUUGGGCCUGUAAAUGCUUUACAUGUGAAAUGGGCCUUAGUUGUCCUUUCAUAUAUAUUUCGGGCCCAUGUUAUAUAAUCUCACUCCCUUUAGGUCUUGAAAUGAUUUACAUGUUUAGCGAUGCCUUAGUGGUUCACUUACAUGGAUCAUUGGUCCUGGAAUGAGUUUAUACCUUUUCACUUCGCGUAAAUUCGAUUAAGGAUCUAGCUAGUUUUUGUCGGUUGGCACCUAUUAAGUGUACGAUCGUAGCCUGUAGUUAUAACCAGAGUCUCUUGGAGGGAGAACGGGGAUUUGUGUAUAGAUCUAUACGGGGAUGACGCCCCACGCCUCAGCUGUUCGCUACAGUUAGACUAUCUCGGUCUAGGGUGACGAAAACCUUAUAGUCAAAUUCAAAACUGGCGUCCAACGAUGCCAAGACAGGUGAAAUUGUCAUUAUUUAGUAUGGUUAUGACGGCUCGCUUAGAGGAAUUAACGUUAUAAAGUUUACGGAAGACCGUUUUCUUUUAUAGGCAACAUCAGGUUGUCUUGGAACAUUCUCUUUACAUGCUCUUACAUUCUCUCUACAUUUUCUUUGCCGUUUAAGUCAAAUAAACAAUAACAUACAUGCAUUAAUACAAGAUCUGACACAAACACACUAAACAGUUUUAAGAAAAUAUCGGAUUUUCUGGUGGUUUUCAAGUUAUAUAAAUCAUUUUCACAAACAUGCUUAUGAACUCACCAACAAAUUUAUGUUGAACGUUUUUCAAAAUAACUUGUAUUCUCAGGAAAUCAUUGAAGUAGGAUGAACAAAACAAACUAAUGGAUGUUGUGUUAUAUUUUGUUUCAUCAUACUCUUACUAUUUUGGCAUCUAAUAUUCAAAUACAAUACUCGAUGUAAACAAUGAAUGUUGUAAUAUUAAAUGUGUGAUGAUGAUGAUGUUAUGUUUCAAUUAUAUUCACUGUAAUGAUAUUUCAAGUUGAAGUCACGCACAAGCCCCCGGACGUUUCCGCCGUCUGGUUCAGGGGUGUGACACCCACUGACUCCUUGACAUAUAAGAUUCUCUUGUCAAUAACAUUUCUUGACAAACAAAUAUUCAAGAGUUGGUGUAGCUUUUAUCAAGACAGAACAUUUCAUAAAAUUGGUCCUAGUUGGUCUUUGUCUUAUCCAAGACAUCACAACUUUCCAAUUUCAAAUGUGCGAGAAUAAGAAAAACAUUUUUCUAAAUUCUAUAUUUGAUGAAUGUUAUAAACCUUCUUAAGACUUGUCACUCAAUGUCACAAUCUUAACUUUAAGACUUGUUUUUAGAACGAAGUAUGAUUGACUUCUUAAUUUGAACCAUUUCUUCAAUUCUUGAUUCCUCUUCUCAGACAUACAAUUGUACUAAGACUCACUUAGAGGAUCAAUUGAGAUAUGGUUCUUAAUCAUUAAGACAUAUCCUAAAGCAUAAAAGGUACUCUCCCUUCUUCUUAGAAUAGAGAAACUUUUAUCUUUCUGUCCUACUUGAUUCUUCUUAUUCGUUCUGCUAUUGAUUUAAACUUUUUCAAUCAAAUCAGAAUUACACUUAAUCUUAUAAGUAUAAUCAUAUUUACUAAACCUUUAGUAAAUCAUGACGAAUAUCUUUGUUACUCUUGUGGUGGAUUUUAUCAACACACAGCUUUCUGUACUCGAUCUCCUAGUCUUUCACUUGACACUUUGUCAAUGAAUCAGUCCAAUUUCCAAAUAUGAAAUUUCUCAUUUAUCGUGCAACCAAGUUGCAUGAUUCCAAGUUUCUGUCCAAUUGAAACUUGGGCGAUGAGAAACUUUCCUUAUUUGGUAAAUUCUUGACAUUUCCACUAUUAACAUAAUUAAGAAUCACAUCCAUUCGUUGUAGAAAUAUGCAAACAUCAAUUUUUCAUAACGAUUUCAUUGCAAGGAAAUAAAUAAAUAAAUAAAUAAAUGAGUCAAAUCAAAAUUUAUUUUAUUCAUAAAAGUAGCGGAAAACAUUUGUCCUUACAAUGCAAAAUCAACUGAAAACUAUGUAGAAAAAUUCCUAACAACUCUAUCAUAACUUUCUAAGCUCAAAAUCUAAUCUUCAAAUCCAUGCGAUCGAGAUCCAUUUCUUCGUGAUUAGAUUUAUCUUGCUUUUCCAUCAAGCUUCCUCUCUUUUCACUGAUCCUGCAAAACAUUCAAAUGCAAUCUUAUCACAUCAUGUAUUAAGAAUCAACGAAUAGGAACUUAAUGGAGUUAGAUAGUGGAUUUUACCUGAAGCACAACCAUACUCUUUGACUCUCCCAUCUUCUGGACUCUUCAGGCUCUUAGGGCAGACUUGUAUCCAACGCCCUUUCUCUUGGCAGCAAACGCAGGUCGGUUCUCCUAGAACGUCCUCGGAAGCAUGGUUGGUUGACUUUCCCAACAAAUAUGCUCCAUUGCUUUGCCAAAUCAUUUCUGAUUCAGCAGCAAUGAGCAUGUAAGUUAGGUCAAUGAGGUUNNNNNNNNNNNNNNNNNNNNNNNNNNNNNNNNNNNNNNNNNNNNNNNNNNNNNNNNNNNNNNNNNNNNNNNNNNNNNNNNNNNNNNNNNNNNNNNNNNNNNNNNNNNNNNNNNNNNNNNNNNNNNNNNNNNNNNNNNNNNNNNNNNNNNNNNNNNNNNNNNNNNNNNNNNNNNNNNNNNNNNNNNNNNNNNNNNNNNNNNNNNNNNNNNNNNNNNNNNNNNNNNNNNNNNNNNNNNNNNNNNNNNNNNNNNNNNNNNNNNNNNNNNNNNNNNNNNNNNNNNNNNNNNNNNNNNNNNNNNNNNNNNNNNNNNNNNNNNNNNNNNNNNNNNNNNNNNNNNNNNNNNNNNNNNNNNNNNNNNNNNNNNNNNNNNNNNNNNNNNNNNNNNNNNNNNNNNNNNNNNNNNNNNNNNNNNNNNNNNNNNNNNNNNNNNNNNNNNNNNNNNNNNNNNNNNNNNNNNNNNNNNNNNNNNNNNNNNNNNNNNNNNNNNNNNNNNNNNNNNNNNNNNNNNNNNNNNNNNNNNNNNNNNNNNNNNNNNNNNNNNNNNNNNNNNNNNNNNNNNNNNNNNNNNNNNNNNNNNNNNNNNNNNNNNNNNNNNNNNNNNNNNNNNNNNNNNNNNNNNNNNNNNNNNNNNNNNNNNNNNNNNNNNNNNNNNNNNNNNNNNNNNNNNNNNNNNNNNNNNNNNNNNNNNNNNNNNNNNNNNNNNNNNNNNNNNNNNNNNNNNNNNNNNNNNNNNNNNNNNNNNNNNNNNNNNNNNNNNNNNNNNNNNNNNNNNNNNNNNNNNNNNNNNNNNNNNNNNNNNNNNNNNNNNNNNNNNNNNNNNNNNNNNNNNNNNNNNNNNNNNNNNNNNNNNNNNNNNNNNNNNNNNNNNNNNNNNNNNNNNNNNNNNNNNNNNNNNNNNNNNNNNNNNNNNNNNNNNNNNNNNNNNNNNNNNNNNNNNNNNNNNNNNNNNNNNNNNNNNNNNNNNNNNNNNNNNNNNNNNNNNNNNNNNNNNNNNNNNNNNNNNNNNNNNNNNNNNNNNNNNNNNNNNNNNNNNNNNNNNNNNNNNNNNNNNNNNNNNNNNNNNNNNNNNNNNNNNNNNNNNNNNNNNNNNNNNNNNNNNNNNNNNNNNNNNNNNNNNNNNNNNNNNNNNNNNNNNNNNNNNNNNNNNNNNNNNNNNNNNNNNNNNNNNNNNNNNNNNNNNNNNNNNNNNNNNNNNNNNNNNNNNNNNNNNNNNNNNNNNNNNNNNNNNNNNNNNNNNNNNNNNNNNNNNNNNNNNNNNNNNNNNNNNNNNNNNNNNNNNNNNNNNNNNNNNNNNNNNNNNNNNNNNNNNNNNNNNNNNNNNNNNNNNNNNNNNNNNNNNNNNNNNNNNNNNNNNNNNNNNNNNNNNNNNNNNNNNNNNNNNNNNNNNNNNNNNNNNNNNNNNNNNNNNNNNNNNNNNNNNNNNNNNNNNNNNNNNNNNNNNNNNNNNNNNNNNNNNNNNNNNNNNNNNNNNNNNNNNNNNNNNNNNNNNNNNNNNNNNNNNNNNNNNNNNNNNNNNNNNNNNNNNNNNNNNNNNNNNNNNNNNNNNNNNNNNNNNNNNNNNNNNNNNNNNNNNNNNNNNNNNNNNNNNNNNNNNNNNNNNNNNNNNNNNNNNNNNNNNNNNNNNNNNNNNNNNNNNNNNNNNNNNNNNNNNNNNNNNNNNNNNNNNNNNNNNNNNNNNNNNNNNNNNNNNNNNNNNNNNNNNNNNNNNAUUAUCUAAUCAAUUGGUAAUUAUCUUUUGUUUAUAUACUCAUAAAUAUGUAUAAAAUCAGAUUUUAAUGAUCUAAAACAGAUAAGGCAAGUAUCCAUGAGUAAAAUAGCAAGAAAUCCCGAAAUCCCCUCUUUCUGACGCUCGAACUCGCUGAGUACCCCAAUGGACUCGCCGAGUAGGGGCCUACUCGCCGAGUCCACAAUGGGACUCGCCGAGUUCAUCAAGCAGAGAGGCCAAAAACGAUUUUGCAACUUGAACAAACAUACAAGGCAUCAAUACAAUAGAAACCAAUCAAGGCUCUGAUACCAUUGAUGGGUUUUAGCCAUAAGAACAUCCUAUGUGCUCAUACAAACCCUAAUGCUUGGAUCUAGGUUUCUCUAUUGUACAUGCAAUUCAUCCAAGACUAUAAACCCUAGAUCUAGCAUAUGAUAAUCAAUAUAACAUAUAAAUUAGGGUUUAGAUCAUACCUUGAUUGUUAUGUAGCAAUAACAAUCUCAAAUCCUUCUUGUAUUGACUUUAGAAAGCUUAGAGUCACAAAUGUCACUCCUCUAAUGGUUCACAAACACCAAGAGCAAGAGGAUGAAUAGGAGAAGAGAAGGAGGCUGCCCAAAACAUGUCGAAACCCUAAGGAUCUUGUUCACCACGUUUUUGGGGCUUAAGGGUCCUUUAAAUAGUGAGGCUAUUAGGGUUAUCUAAGAAGGAAACCUUAAUUUAGAUGCUUAAGCCCUAAGCAACCCAUGGGCUCCUUCCUUAAAGGCCUAGGACGAUUUCUAAUGGGCUUCCCCAUAGAAUUCGUCCAACCUUAUAUUAUAAGGUAAUCCAUAGCCCAAUUGCAAUUAUCUUAUAAUUACAAUUCCAGUCCCUUAAGUGUAAUUAAUCUCUUUUAGCCACAAACUUAAUUCNAUAAUUCUUAUUACUUCUUGACUAAUAUUAAUUAAACACUAUGAUUUCUCCUUUAAUAUAUUAUUCUCAUAAUAUAUUAAUAAAUCAUAUUUAAUCCUUUCUCUCCAUUAUUCAUCCUAUCAAGUUGCUUUGGUGAAGGCAACCCAAAAGGAUCAUGCACCAUCGGGUCAAGUACACACCAAAAUAGUUAUGGACUUAGACACUAAUCCAACAUAAAUUUACUGUGAUAAUGAAGGAGUUGUUGCCUUGACCAAGGAACCGAGGGAUCAUGGUAGAUCUCGACAUAUCGACAAAAAAUAUCACUUUAUUCGACAUCGGGUGGAAUAAGGACUCCUCGUAGUGAAGAGGUAAUCCUCAAAAGAUAACCCAGCAGAUCUGCUUACGAAGGGACUGAGUAGGGUUAAGCACUUGCAGCACACUAGGAGCAUCGGGCUGAAGGACGAUAUUAUUUUAGAUUAGAUAGUUUAGAGACAUGUAAUAGAUAAGUUGUAAUUAACAUUUGAUGAUUAAAUAAAAGAGUAUUGUUUAUUAGUAAUGUUAUUGUCUUAUGUUAGUUGUUUACCUAUUGUUUCAUAUUGCAUGUUUUGACUUCCUGAAUAAUAAGAUUAUUCAAACGGUCCAAAGUCGUUCAUAUGUUGGAAGUAGGUAUGAAUGAAGACUGUCAUGAAUUGGUGUGUAGACUGUCUAAAGUGUGUUAGACAUAGAAAAAGUUUGCUACAAAGUCCAUGAGUGCUUAUGAACUUGAUUUGAGCAUUCGAAUAAACCCAAGCUUGCUGGAAUCACUUCAUGGAAUUCAUCACGAGUGAUCGCAAGACGAUAAUAUCAUAUGGUCUUAAAACCUAGAUAUAUGGUUUAUUGUUUGCUAAUUGGUUGUGCAUUGAUAGUGCGUAAAUGCAUCAGUAACUUGAUGUUAUAAAACACAUUGUUGUGUAUGAUUUGGUUAGUGGAUAGUAAAUGUAUAUAAGUCGAAGUUUAUCUGUUCCUUUUAUCCUAGGAGGGUAAAAGCGAUAUCAGGGCCCCUCGAUGAUUUGAUUUGNGGGCCAAUAAAACCAAGAAAAUUCCACCAGAAAUAAAGAAAUUUUUUUUAGCAUACUCAUGAAUAUUCCUAGGAAGAAUUAUUUAGAAUUAAUCGGAUUGAAGAUAUAGCGUCAUCAUUGGCUGGAAUCGAAAUAUCUGCAAGAUCGGGGUCUGGUCAGGACUGAAUUGAUGUGUUCAAUUAAUUUCUAUGUCAAAUGAAUCUGAGAUUGAGAAAUAAACUGCUAGAGAAUAAGUAUGACUAUGUUCCAUGUAAUUGUCUGCACGAUAUCUAGAACAGAGGAUUAUACGAUCCCUUAUCUGAAGGACAUGAUAUUGAUAAGAUCAAGAGUUUUGAGAAUUGCGAUUGCUAAUUGGAUCCAGAAGUUAUAUUUGCAUUUAUAGUUAUUAGACUUAUCCAAGUGGGAGACUGUUGGAUUAGUGUCUAAGUCCAUAACUAUAUUUGCUAUGUACUCGACCUGGUUGUGCAUGGUCCUUUUGGGUUGCCUUCACCAAUGCAAAUUGAAUGGGGAAUAAUAUAGAAAGAGGUGAUUAAGGUUUAUUAAUAUUUUAUAAGUCUAAUAUAUUCAAAGAGAAAUCAUAUUUGUUUAAUUAACAUUGGUCAAUAAUUAAUUAGUUUUGCGAUCAAAAGAAGUUCAUCAAACUUAUGGGGCUGAACUGUAAUUAUGUGAUAGUUGCAAAGUUAGGCAAGGAAACCCUAAUAGAUAGGGUGGAAGAAUAUUAAGGAUAAGGCCUUAGCAAUUCGUCCAAGAUAGGGCUUCUAGAAUUAUCCUUGGGUUUCUUGGUGGCUAAGUAACCAGAUAAGGAUAAUCACUGAAACCCUGAUUUCCAAACCUAUAUAAAGAUCCCUAAGGCUUGGGAUUUCGGAGAACACUUGAACCCUAGAUGUCCUAGAGCCAAAAUUCUCUUCUCCCCCUCUCUCUUGUUUCCUCUAAUUGGUAUUGGUGUUUGUGAUUCAUUAGAGGCACAAAAUUUGAGGUGCUAAAGUUCUCAAGGCUUCAAGACUUUAAUCAACAAGGUAAAUAUCUAGAUCUAUUUUGUUAUGUUAAUUUCGAUUAUAUACACUAGAUCUAGGGUUUGAAAGUCUUGGAUGAAUGCAUGUACAAUUAGAGAAACCUAGAUCCAAGCAUUAGGGUUUGCAUGAGCACAUAGGAUGUUCUUUUGGAUCAAACCCAUCAAAGGUGUAGUUAAAGUUAUGUGACAGAUUGCAAUGAAGCCUCCUCAAUCAAUUUGCUGCUAUCUAUGAACCUGCUAAAGUGAUCUAGAAGAAUCGGUCUCUGUGUUAUUAUCUCUGAAGUUUUUCAAAGCUGAAAGUGCUGAUUUUCAUGAACCUUUACAAGAAGCCUCUAUAACCAAUGUGCGUUCAAGGUUAAAUCUUUGAAGGAAGUCCAACUUUUCAAGAUAAAGUCAUUCAUGUAGAAAUUCAUAUGUUCAUCUUGAAUUUGUGAAGAAAUCGAAGAUUAAGGCUGAAGUCAAGAAUGAAGAGAAGAUUGAAAAGAAAAAAAGCUACAAACCAAGGGGGGAUUGUUAGGUCAUAAAUUGUGGUUUAUACUUUGCUUUUCAGAAGUUGUUAGAGUUCUCGGUCUAGGACCGAAAACACCAUGUUAUGGUGUUGUUUGGAUCGAAAUCACAUGUGAUUUCGGUUAGGCUUUUGGGUUUUGGGUUGAGCGUUUGUAUUUAUGUCCAGGUAUAUAUAUAUAUAUAUAUCUAUAUAUAUAUUGUGUUUAUUAGGCAUUGAAAAAGGGUGAGAUGUGAGUGAGAGACGUUUUUGUGUGACUCCUCAAGCUAAGAACAUGUUUAGAGCAAAAGAGAGAACCGAGAGUGUUUUAUGUAUGUUAUGUACCCGACUAUUAUCAAUAAUAGUGUGCACUGAAGAUUAAUCAUCGUGUCCUUCUUCCAUAUUAAAUCUUGCAUCUUUCACUUGAUUGGGAUUCCGCACCAUCAUAGUGAAUCCGAUUGAUACACCAAGAAUCUUGGGUUUUACAAACUCACCGAGUUCCAUUAACAGAAUCGGGAAUGUUCGAUUCAACUCAUCGAGUUUCUCUAUGAACUUGCUGAGUUCCUCGUAUUUCUAGUCUAUUCAGCCCUUUCCUUAGAUCUAAGGUUCCAUAAUAUAGAUCUACAUUGUUUCCAUGGCAUAUUUCUGUAAAGUCGACAACUUGAUGGCUUUGCAUGCCUCAAGUGGAGCCAAUCUCGAGAUAUAGCAACCUACUUAUAUGGACAUGGUUUUUUCUUGGAAAAGAACGGGUGUAGGGCCCUUUUUAUGAAUCUAAGGACCAAAUAACAUUGAGAAUGGGAGUUUGUAGCAUCAGGACUAUAAAGGGUAUCAUGUUCCGAUAAUGGGGGUCAAAAGUUCCAUAAAACAACACUAAUAUAAAUCUAAGUUAUUAAUCAUCAAGUUAGGGACUUUUUACCUCGGAAAAUUGCCAAAGAUGGAUGAGAUCCCAGAUCUAGUGCUUCUCCUCAAGCUUAAUGACCUUCUAGUUCUUUAAAGUCCUUCACCAAGCAUAAGAACAUACAAAAUCCACUCAAAACCUCAAGUUUCUAAACAAGGAGCUCACAAUACGAUUUAGGGUUUCAGGAAGGCCGAUGAGGGCUGGUGGGUAAAUAUUAAGUCGUUUAAAUAGGGUGCAAAACCCUAGAAAUUAGGGUUUCAUCCCAGCCGGUCUACUCGUCGAGUUGAGGCCUCUCAACUCGUCGAGUAGGUUACUCAAAUCAUGCGGACCUUAUAAUCUCUACUCGACGAGUUUGGGGUUUCCAACUCGUCGAUUUGCUCUGUAAACAUGAAUAAAUUAUAAUUAAAUGCAUACCAGGAACCAGGCAUUACGUAUAUUAUAUACUUUUUCUUCAACGCAUAAUAGAGCAUCACAAUUUGGUGGCGUGUGCGCUGUGUUAUAUAUAACUUAACCUUUAUUAUAUUUGCAUUGUCUAUUAACAAAUAGUGUCAAAAUAUGGUAAAUGAAUAUGUGUUGGUAAAUAUAUGUUUAAUGUGCAUAACCGAAAAACUUACGGUUUGUCUUGGAAAAAGAAAUUGAACGAAGUUAAUGUCAUUGGAUGGCCAAACAUAGGCGAGUAGUUUAGUUUUGCCCCACCGAUUUUUCCAACAUCUAAAAAUAAAGUUUUUCCAACAAAGUUAAUGUCAUUGGAUGGCAAAGUGUUAACUUUUUUAUUUUUAAAAUAUAAAAUAUGAUUAUAAAAAAAAAUUGGUAAUAAAAUAUACCAAUCAUAAUUUUUCUUGAUGUCAUAUCUGUUGGAUUAGUGUCUAAGUCCAUAACUAUUUUGGUAUGUACUUGACCCGAUGGUGCAUGGUCCUUUUGGGUUGCCUUCACCAAAGCAACUUGAUAGGAUGAAUUAUGGAGAGAAAUGAUUAAAUAUGAUUUAUUAAUAUAUUAUGAGAAUAAUAUAUUAAAAGAGAAAUCAUAUUGUUUAAUUAAUAUUAGUCAAGAAUUAAUAAGAAUUAAGUUUGUGACUAAAAGAGAUUAAUUAAACUUAAGGGACUGGAAUUGUAAUUAUAAGAUAAUUGCAAUUGGGCCAUGGAUUGCCUUAUAUUAUAAGGUUGGACGAAUUCUAUGGGGAAACCCAUUAGAAAUCGUCCAAGGCCUUUAAGGAAAGGAGUCCAUGGGUUGCUUAGGGCUUAAGCAUCCAAAUUAGGGUUUCCUUGUUAGAUAACCCUAAUAGCCUCACUAUAUAUAGAGCCCUUAUGCCCCAAAAACGUGGACAAGCUUCCUUCUAGGGUUUCCACACGUUUUGCGCAGCCUCCUUCUCUCCUCCUCUUCAUACUCUUGCUCUUGGUGUUUGUGAACCAUUAUAGGAGUGACAUUUGUGACUCUAAGCUUUUCUAAAGUCAAUACAAGAAGGAUUUGAGAUUGUUAUUGCUGCAUAACAAUCAAGGUAAUAUCUUAAACCCAUUCUUAUGUUAAUAUGAUUACUUGUAUGCUAGAAUUAGGGUUUAUAGUCUUGGAUAACUUGCAUGUACAAUAGAGAAACCUAGAUCCAAGCAUUAGGGUUUGUAUGAGCACAUAGGAUGUUCUUAUGACCAAAACCCAUCAGUGGUAUCAGAGCCUUGAUUGGUUUCUAUUGUAUUGAUGCCUUGUUGAUAUGUUCAUGCUUGAAAAUUUUGUUUUUUGUGAGCCUGCCUGAUGGACUCGGCGAGUAGGCCCCUACACGGCGAGUCCAAGCGUCAGAAAGAGCAAAUAUCGGGAUUUCUUGCUAUUUAUCUUUGAGAUACUUGCCUUUAUCAUAUUAGAUCAAUAUAAAUCCGAUUUUAUGAUAUAUAUGAGUAUAUUCUUGAUCUAAUUGAAGAUAUUUAUCAAUUAAUAAAAUAUUUACUUCCUUAUAUGAUUGAAGUUAAUUAUUUGUAUUAAUGGGGUAACUUAUUUUGCAAGAAAUUGAAAUUAGGUUAAAUAUAGAUAAUGAUGAAAUUAAUUGUUUAAUUAUAUUAUUUGUUAUUUGAUCCCUGUGGUAUGAAAAGUUUCAAUUUUCCCCUUUAGGUUUUAUAGUUUAAAUUUGAACUCAAAAGUUUAGUUUUUGAAAUUUAAAUAGUUGAAACCCUAAUGUUUUGAAAUGUUUCAAACUUGCCCUCAAGUUUUGGAAUUUAAAUUUUGAUUAAAAGUUUAAUUUUGAUGUAUAUUUAAAUUCUAAACCCUAAUGUUUUGAAAUGUUUCAAAACUUGCCCUCAAGUUUUGGAAUUUAAAAGUUGAUUAAAAGUUUAAUUUAGGAAUGUUAAAUUCUAAAACCCUAGUAUUGUUUUGAAAAGUUCAAAUCACACCCUUAUGGUUUUAUUAAUUAAUUAAGGUGUAUAAUUAAAAGAGGUUUAAUAAAUCCAUAAAAGUUUUGGUUUACAAUUUAAUUGAAUUAAAAGUAUAAUUGUUAAAUUAGACCACCUAAUAUUUUAAAAGUGUAAAAUACACCCUAUACUAUAUAUAACAUUAAAAGUCUAACAUUAUAUAUAUGUAUGAGUAAAAGUCAGUCUUACUGUUAGUAGGCCUCAUUCACGAAGCUGGUUUAUAAGGGGUGUUUAAGGAAAUUGCCUAUAAAAUGACGAUUGAAUGGGUAUCCACUCUUACCCACCGCACUCUUGACUAGUGGAGGGUCGUUAGCCGAACGGGUAGGAUAGGACAAAACCUUCCAUUAUAAGUAUAAUGAAGUACAAAAGUAACUAAAUGUUUUACAAAUUCCCAAUCUUAGUUACUUAGGCAAAAGUGAAUUGAUGCAAUUCCAUGAAAUUACACUUUGUGCCCUUGCGAAGACGUUAGUGGAGCGUGUGUGGUUAACCGGCACACUAAAUGGUUCUAAGCAAAGGUAGCAAAGGGUGACUCAAUGUUUGUCAUAGUUCUGUGGAGCGUGUGUGGUUUACAGGCACAUCGAAUAGGUGACGGUAACAUGUGAGGGCACCAUGUAAGUUUGCGUGGUUAUUCACACCCGCUUUGUGGUCUUCGGCAUCCCAGUCACAAACUAGAGGGUCAUAUCGAGAUUUAAACAUGCCAUUGAAAUGUUCAAUGAAUCUCAUAGGAUCUAGGAGUUUUCAUAGAUUUAAAACUUAAAUUUCUUUUUUGUUUUUCAUGGUGAAAAUUAGUGAAUCGUCAUUCACUUACCUUCAAAUAUUCUGCAACUAGAUUACGGCAUCCCUUUUCUAGGUUGUAGAAUAUUGUGUUGGGUCCUAGCCUUAGUAUCUCAUUUGGGUGAUUUACUAAGGACUCAAUCAAUCAACUAACUUGAAUUCGUUUUCUCCCGUUUUGUAGAUGUCAAAGUACGACAACUAUGGUCUUCCCAAAUCCCGUGGAACAAGCAUUCCACAUGAAGAUGAUAUUCCACGAUUCGAUCGAGGAACAAGAGAUCAUGCUUCACUUCCUCCACCUCCUCCAAUUAUUCUCCCUAACCCACAAGUUCGAAGGCUUGAAAGGUUCAAGCUCACUCAAGCCCUUUAGGCAAGUAAACAUAAAAGAAGGAAAGUCGGUGUGUGCACACGUCCUAGGGAUGAAGUCACACAUUGAUAAGUUAAGAAUGUUGGGAUCCGUUGUCUGUGAGGAGAUGGCAGUUGAUUGGGUUCUUCAGUCACUUCCUAACUCGUAUAGUGAGUUCGUAAGAGAGUACUAUAUGAUGAACCAUGACAUGACCCUUAUAGAUCUCACUUAUAUGCUUAUUGCUGCUGAAUCAGCAAUGGUUUGACGCAAUGGAAAAGCAAAGUUGAUUGGUGAAUCUGCCUUCCAGACCUCUAUGGAUAUAGGAAAUGGCAACGAAAGACAUGCCAUGAUCGAAGAGCUUGAUCAUAAGAGAAAGGCAAUAUCUGAAGUAGUUCCAUGUGCUGUUCCAAAAGACUCGAUUUGCUUUUAUUGCCAAGAGAAGGGGCAUUAGAGACGAAGCUGCCCUAUUUACCUAAGAGAUCUAAGAGAUGGGAGAGUCAAAACGUAUGGCUCUGCUUUAGGUAAAAUCCAUUGACUAACUCUUUUAAGCUUCUAUUCUAGAUUCUUAAUACAUAAUGUGAUAAGAUUACAAUUGAUGUUUUGUAGGAUCGAAGAAAAGAAAGGAAGCUUAAGAGAAGAAGUGAGCAAAAUCUAACCACGAAAGAAUGGAUUUCGAUCGCAUUACUUGAAGAUUAGAUUCUUGAGCUGCUACUUAGAGUUAGAAUUAGAGUGCUAAGAAAGAAGUAUUAACAUAGUUUUUCAAUGAAUUGCAUUCUAAGGACAAAUUUUUCCGCAAUAAAAUAAAUUAUGAUUUUAUAUUAUUUAUUUAUCCUUGCAAUGGCGUAUAUGAAAAUUUGAUGUUUGAAUGUUUCUAAUAUUAGCAAUAAUGGGUUUGAUUCUUAAUUAUGUUGUGUCACACCCCAAAACCGAUAACGGCGGAAUACGUUUCGGGGUGGAGGACGUCAUGCACAGUAUCAUCACAAUUGCAUAAUAGUAAAAACAAGAAACAUACAACCAUUGCAUUUACAUAGUGAAUUUAAUUACAAGAGUGUUUCAUAUUGUUCAACAAACACCAAAAGUAAUUCAAAAAUAAGAGAUGGGUCUUGUAUGCUCCACCUUCUCCAAAAAUGCUGGGUCUGUACCUGUCUAUCUUUGACCUGAAGAUACAAGUUAUUUUGAAAACGAAUAUCAGCAUAAAGCUGGUGAGUUCAUAAGAGUUUAGUGUGAGUUUUUGUAUAAAAAGCAAUAGUGCGAAAAAUGUGCUAUUUAUAUUCAUAAGCAGUAGAAAGCCUCGAAAAUCCUAUAUUUUCCAGAAAAUACAUUGUAAGUGAAAUGUAUGAAAAGUAGGCAUUCUCUUUUUUUGAAAACAGUUUAAUGUAAAAGUAUAUUAGAAAUUCCCAAAUAGUAAUGUGAUAGUAUAGGUUAAGCCUGUAUUUAGUGGUGGAGGUGCAAGCUUCCUUUAGUGAUCGAUUCUUACUUACUUCGGGAUGUAAUUUAGCAUUUAGUGUAGUAUUUUAGAGUAGUUAUAGUGUAUUCCUUGUAUACUACUAUUAGUGAGAAUAAUAGAGGAUCCCAUGACCUUCCCAGUCAUGCACAAUGUAGUGAAGUAGUGGCAUCCCUGGGCCUGCACGGCGCGGACUGAAAUUAACAGUCGGGAUAUAAUAGCGUCUGCCCCGUAUAGGUCUAUACAUUUAGUGUCGUCUUCCAGUCGGAAAACUCCGGGCGUAGUGGGUAGCGAAUAGAGUAUCUCGUAGUGGGUUAGUGUAUUAUUGUUUGUUUAGUGUUUUCUCUUUUGUUAUAGUGUAGAAAUCCUAUAGUAUUGAGCAUAGUGUAUUCUCUUACUAGUGUAUUGUCUGGUAAUAGUGAGUAUUAUAGUGUAGAGAGUAGUGACUUUAGCGAGUAGUAGCAGUAGCAACCGUAAUUAUACCUAUUAUAAUUAUCUUAGUGUGGAUGGUUCUUGACAUGUUAGUGACUUUAGUAUUUUAGUGAAAAGAGAAUUAUUCGUAUCCCAUACUAAUAUACAAGUUAUAUAACUAAGAAAUCAACGACAGUCGGACAGAUAACUACUACCCUAAGCCCACAAUCAAACAAGAACAGGAAAUAAGGCGAGAUAUCGGUCCUAAGUCCUCCAAGUCUUACUUAUAUAACUAUAUCAGAAUGGUUACAUUUUAUAAGUAAAUUGAUUUAAUAAAAGUAUUUUCCAAAAGAACAUUUAAAAUCUGGCUUGCUGUCCAAAAAUAGUUUUGAAAAUGUAAAAACCUGUUUAUAAGGCAUAGUGAUAAAUCACAUGUGAUUUGAACUAAGGAUAGUGAAUCACAUGUGAUUAAUCCUUGUAACUCGGAAAUCGUUCUGUAAAACUUUACAUAAACAUUUAUAAGCAACUUGUAUCUCCCCCCUAAAACAUGUAAAACACUUGAAAGGUUCAUUAAAGGGGUAUGAACUCACCUGAAAUCGCGGAAAUCGGGUGAAUCGGGUAAAUCGGGUAAUAGUGUCGAUUGAGCGUUUGGUACCAAAUAACCACUUGAGCACCUUUUAGGACCCUAAUGUCAUAUGAAAUAUGUAUUUUACAAGAAGUUAAUCAUCUUAUGCUUUUCAUUAUAGAAUUUGGACAUUCUAGUGUCGUUUUCGGGGUUUUAAGGCCUAGAAAGGGUUCCCGGGAGUGGUACAAGGCCAUGAAUGAUUUACGGGAGGGUCCUUGAGUUCACUCUCUUAGAGUUUAUGGCCUAAAAGCCAUCCAUUGGGAGUUUACGGCCGUAAGCCCCCUAGGCUUGGCCGUAAACUCUUGUGACACUCCAAAAUGUGUGUUUAAGGCCUUAUCUCACUUCCUUGAUUUAGUGGUGUGUGUUUUGGACCAAGAGGGAAGGAUUAAACAUCAUAUUUUGUGAUAUUUUUGGGGAGUUUACGGCCAAGACUUGUUCUUGGGCCGUAAACUCCUAUAAGUCCUUCAAGAUGAAGGUUUUACUUGUACAACAUGGUCCCAAAUGGCUUAGAAAAAUCCUAGAAGGCCCUAUAGUGAGUUUGGAGCAAUUUGGCACAUAUUUAUGGGGAGUUUACGGCCCAAGAACAUCCUUGGCCGUAAACUCUUCAUUUGGUGUCAAAAUGAAGUGUUUAAUGGUACAACACACUUCCAUAGGCCUUAGAUAAAUUCCUUUCAUGCAUUAGGGUAGUUUAGGGGCUUGUUUGACACAAAAGUUUGGGUGUUUACGGCCCAAGCUUAGCCUUGGCCGUAAACUCCACUUUUUAUGUUCAAAUGAUGAUGUUUAAUGCCUUUAAGCCUUCCUUGUUGUCAAGUCUAAAUUACUAAACACCCUAGAAGAGUUUUUGGAGCCUUAAACAUGGAUUUGUGGGGUGUUUGAGGUGUUUACGGCCUAAGCACAUGCUUGGGCCGUAAACUCCUUUUUAAGCAUCAUUCUCUUGUGUUUUAAGGUCCAAACUCUUCUAGUUAUAAGCCUUAAUUAGUAUACUAACAUACAAGAAGGAAAAACUUGGUCUUUGGCUUGGAUUUGGGGGUUUACGGCCUAAGGAGCUUCUUAGGCCGUAAACUCCUCUUUGAACCUUGAUUCCUAUGAUUUUUGGCCCUCAAAUUCAAUGAAGCAUGUCUAGAAUAAGAUAGAGGAUGAGUACUUACGUUUGGAAGUCGGAAAUUAGCGGAAUCGGGGUCGUUUUCGAGUCUAGAGAGAGAAAGUAGAGAGAGAGAGUGGGUGUGUAGUAAAUGAGUGUUCAAAUGUUGUGCACACCCAUUGCAUAUGUCUCGGGAAUCGCACCCGAUACACGGCUACCCGAUGUUUAAAGUUAACUGGGUUAAAACUUUUUACCCGGGUGAAGUGGUUGAAAAGGUAAUACAACUCUAUUAGGUUAAACGGGGUUAACACAUACGAGUUAUAUUUCUUAUAAUAAUAUCAAGCCAUGCAUAAAUUUAGAUAUUCGGAUAUUGACGAUUCCAAAUAUUACAUAAAAUAACGUAUAGUGACACGUUCCGUUAGUGAAAAUGGGAUUUGUAACGGAAUUAGAUUUGGGGUUGUCACAUCAUCCCCCCGUUAGGGGAAUUUCGUCCCGAAAUUUAGAAUACAAACAGAUACGAUAUUACAAUACUACUAAGCGAAGAGAUGAGGGUAUUUGAGUUUCAUUUGAUCCUCGCGCUCCCAAGUGAAUUCCGGUCCUCGCUUGGCGUUCCACCGAACCUUCACAAUUGGGAUGCGGCUUUGUUUCGUCCGCUUUACUUCACGAUCCAAAACCUCAGCAGGUUCUUCCACGAAGUUGAGGCUCUCAUUGAUCUCGAUCUCGUCGAGGGGAAUCACGAGAGUCUCAUCAGACAGACAUUUCUUCAAGUUUGAGACGUGGAAGGUAGGAUGUAUGUUACUUAGCUCGCGGGGUAAGUUUAGUUUGUAAGCUACAGGGCCGAUUCUGGCAAGAAUCUCAAAAGGCCCUAUGUACCUUGGGUUUAACUUUCCACGCUUCCCGAAGCGUAUCGUGCCUUUCCAGGGCGAGACCUUCAGAAGGACCCGGUCUCCGACCUGGAAUUCCAAGGGUUUCCUUCGUUUGUCGGCGUAGCUCUUCUGUCGAUCCCUAGCGGCUUUUAGUCGUUCACGUAUCUGUACAAUCUUCUCGGUCGUCUCUCGAAUGAUCUCUGGACCAGUGAGGGCGCUAUCAGGAACUCGUCCUUUAGCUAACUGAGUGUCUCCCACCUCGGCCCAGCACAACGGGGAUCUGCACUUUCGGCCGUAGAGAGCUUCGAAUGGAGCUGCCUUGAUGCUCGUGUGAUAACUAUUGUUGUAGGAAAACUCCACAAGAGGUAAGUGUGUAUCCCACGAUUUCCCGAAGUCGAUCACACAAGCUCGCAGCAUGUCUUCUAAUGUUUGGAUCGUCCUCUCACUUUGUCCGUCAGUCUGCGGAUGGUAGGCUGUACUCAUAUCCAGCCUCGUCCCUAGUGCCUUUUGUAAUGAUUGCCAAAAUCUAGAGGUGAAUCUACUAUCUCUGUCUGAUAUAAUAGAUAUAGGGACGCCAUGCAAUCGCACUAUUUCUUUUAUAUAAGUCCUAGUGAGCUUUUCCAUCUUAUCCGUCUCUUUGAUGGGUAGGAAGUGGGCGGACUUGGUCAACCUGUCAACGAUGACCCAAAUGGUAUCUAAUCCACCUGCUGUCUUGGGCAGCUUGGUGAUGAAGUCCAUUGUGAUUCGCUCCCACUUCCAUUCUGGUAUUUCCGGUUGUUGGAGGAGUCCUGAUGGCUUUUGACAUUCUACUUUGACCUUCGCGCAAGUAAGGCACUUACUUACAAAGGUAGCGAUCUCUGCUUUCAUGUUCGGCCACCAGUAUAGCUUUUUGAGAUCCAGAUACAUCUUAUCUGAACCCGGGUGGACGGAGUAACGAGUGUUGUGUGCUUCCCUCAUAACCAAAUCUCUGAAACCUCCAUGGCGUGGAGUCCAGAUUCGGUCCAUGAAGUAAUAGGCUCCGUCACCCUUAACCUCCAGAUUUUUAUCCAUUCCACGCAGGAAUUCUCCCGUCACGUUUCCAGGCUUUAGAGCUUCCAGCUGAGCCUCUUUGAUCUGCGUGGAUAGAUGUGAGUGUAUAGUUAUUGACAACGACUUAGUUCUUCGUCCGGAAUAUUCUUUUCUGCUCAGGGCGUCUGCUACUACGUUGGCUUUCCCCGGAUGAUAUCUAAUUUCACAGUCGUAAUCGUUAAGUAAUUCGACCCAUCGACGCUGUCUCAUGUUGAGUUCUUUCUGGUUCAGUAUAUGUUGGAGGCUUUUAUGAUCAGUGUACACCACGCUCUUCGUCCCAUACAAGUAGUGUCUCCAGAUUUUUAGUGCGAAGACGACUGCUCCUAACUCAAGGUCGUGAGUAGUGUAGUUCACUUCAUGGUUCUUUAGUUGUCUCGAGGCAUAGGCGAUAACUUUGCCUCGUUGCAUUAAGACGCAACCGAGCCCCUGAUUGGAUGCGUCACAAUAUACGACGAAAUCUUCUGUCCCUUCGGGAAGGGAUAAUACUGGUGCGGUGCAUAGGGCUCGCUUCAAGGUCUGAAAUGCCUUCUCCUGUUUCUCCUCGCAGUCGAAUGAUACACCCUUCUGUGUUAGCAUGGUGAGAGGUUUCGCAAUCCGAGAGAAAUUUUGGAUGAAUCGGCGGUAGUAGCCAGCGAUGCCUAAAAAUUGAUGAAUUUCCGUAGGCGUCUUUGGUGCUGACCAGUUCUCNNNNNNNNNNNNNNNNNNNNNNNNNNNNNNNNNNNNNNNNNNNNNNNNNNNNNNNNNNNNNNNNNNNNNNNNNNNNNNNNNNNNNNNNNNNNNNNNNNNNUUGUAUGAGCACAUAGGAUGUUCUUAUGACUAAAACCCAUCAAUAUCCUCUUGUAAAGAUUUGAUGUUGGAAAUCAAUGGAUAAAUCAGAAACCACAAUUAGUAGUAUCAGAACACCGAUUAAACCGUGUGCUAGUGCUUAUUCGAAUAGUCAAAUGGUCACGGCUAAAGUUGUAUCCUUGAUAUCUCGGAAAUUGAUAGUAUGUUGGUUCAAUUUGGAAAUGGGUCAAACAGAACACACCUUCCAAUAGAUGGUCUUCAUUGAAAAAAGACAUCAAUUGUGUGGAGUAACAAAUGCCACCAUCUUAUCUCUCUAAUAGAAAAAAUUAAUAGUUAAAUAAAUUACUUCAAAUUUGAUAUAAAUAUAUAAAUUAAACAAAAAAUCAUGGUAAAUUUACAUUUCUAUCGAUAAGGGUUAUGAUCAAUUGAUUCGAUCUAACUUCUCUCCAACAGAACUCCACUUGCACGGUUCUUAAUGUAUACCAUAAAUGAGGGCUUUGAAGGAUUGAAAAAUCAGUGAUGUAAGUGUGUCCAUCCAUGAUUCUAAAAAGAAAACCAAUAUUUUUUAUGAGAUUAUAUAAUGAAGUUGUAGUAGGAAGAUAAGAAAACAUGGUUGCUUACGGAUUUUUCCAUAGAGUGGGAGUAAUAUAAUCCUUUUUUAUAUAUAUGAAGCAUUUGAAGAUAAAGUAGUUUCUUAUAUAACCUUUCAAGUAAUUUUAGUUAUAUAGAUAAAAUGAUUUACAAACUAUUCAAUCAUUCAAAACAAAAAGGAUUGAUUACCUGCUGUAAUAGAUGUUGGCAGAUUAAUCUGUGAUGAUGAAUUUGAUGAUGUAAACUCAAUCUCGCAAGAAAAAGAAUACAGUUGAAGUAACAACAUAAAAUGAAUAUUACUACUAUAGAAUUGAUAAGUUAUGAAAGAGUAUGAUACUUGUAGAAACGACAAUACCAAGUGAAAGAACAAUAACAUCUUUGUGAUUCACCUACACAAUAGGACUGAAUGGGUUCAGGGAAGAUCAAUUUAACACUAAAUACAAUAAAGAUUUUUAGAAUUAGAUACUACAUGAAUUAAAAGGAGUUUGUUUCAAACUUAUAGAUCAAUUGCAUAAAGAAACAAUAACAGUCGAUUGUAUUUUAGCCGGAUGAAACCCAAAAAUCAAAGGAAGAAUAGACAGAGAUGAAACAAUCAUUAUACAAAAUCAAUAAAGAAGACGUAUGAGAAAUAGGACUGAAUUUGUUCAGGGAAGAUCAAUUUAACACAUAAUACAAUUCCGAUUUUCAGAAUUGGCUACUACAUGGAUUAAAAGGAGUUCGUUUAAAACUUAUCGAUCAAUUGCAUAAAGAAACAAACAAUCGAUUGUAUUUCAGACGGCUGAAACCAAGAAAUAAAAAAAAUAGUAACAGAACACAAACAUUAAUGAGAAAUUGACGUUGUUUACUCGAUUUUUGAUAAAUUGAUAACAUUUGAUUACCGUAAAUAUCAAAUCCAGGAAGUAGUAACAGAACACUAACAUCAAUGAGUUAUUUAAUCUGGAAAGACGAUGAUACCUGUAGAACCACCAACGAAUUCUCAAUCGAAUUUCUAAAACGACGAUAGUAUAAGGGAGAGAUGAAGGUUAGAACAAUAUAUUAGAUGACGAUAGUGACGGUAACAAAUGCGUAUUUGUAGUUGCCUUUUGUUAUGAUAACAUCAGCGAAAUUAAUCCAAUAGUUUAAAAUAAUCAAUGAAAAACAUUGAAGGAGCCAAAUUAUUUUAGGUGAUGUGAUUAGGUUUCUGGUUUAAUAUAUAUAUAUAUAUAUANNNNNNNNNNNNNNNNNNNNNNNNNNNNNNNNNNNNNNNNNNNNNNNNNNNNNNNNNNNNNNNNNNNNNNNNNNNNNNNNNNNNNNNNNNNNNNNNNNNNUUGGUUUUUUGUGUUUAAAUUUUUGAAUUUUUAUAAUUCUAUAAUAUUAUUUUUUUAUUUCAAUUAAUGAUUUUUUAAGUUUUUUUUUAAAUUAAAUUUUUUGAAAAAAAAACAGUGUAACAUGGUGUGGUAACUGGUAACCGUGGCAUAAAACCAUGAUUUUAUCGUAAAUCCAUAUUGAUUUUGACUUGGGUUCGUAUAAUCAUUACCGGUGACAACAGUUCUUCACUUACAUGGAACACCAAGAAUUCUGCUACAAAACAUUGAUGUAGGCUCCACUUUCUGCGAGAGUUAAAGAUGCUGAAAUUGAGCUUGUGCAUUGUGGAAUUUAGGAUCAAAUUGCACAUAUUAUUACAAAACUAUUGAAGCUGGAUAUUUUUCGGAAGAUGUGCAAAUUGCUUGGAGUUCAAAGUCACGAAGAUAUAAGUUGAGUUGCUUUUAGCAUAUAUGUGUUUAGGAAAAAAAAAGAUUUGAUAGGAAUAAGAGUUCCCUUAGGGGUUGUUGAAAAAGUCCGGUUAUGUAGGGGCAAUAAUCCUAGUUUUAAGCAGACCAAUUAGGGAUUCUGUUCUAGUCGUUUUGAAAUCUUCUUGAGUAUUUUGGUUAACCAAAAAUACGGAGUGUUUUGAGUAUUUUGGUUAGUUUUAUCACACAUCGAUCAUUUUUUUGUUAACUACUCUAUCGUCAAAAUACGGAAUUAUACUCGAUGGUUUACUUUUGAAUUGUUUUGAUUGGAUUUAUCGUUUUCAGAUAGAGAAGGAGAAAGAACGAUCAAGUUGAAUUGCUUGGCAAUGGUGCAGGUGUGUUGAGUCCCAAAACCCUAGUUCCUAGCACCCGAAGACACUUUUUUUUUUUUACAAAAUUAUUCAUGAACUUUUAAUCUAUUUAUCUAAAUGCUAUGAUACAAAUACUAAUUCAUAUUUUUGGUUAAUGUACAAUUUAGUACUAUUUGAUUGCAAAGGUGAUACGAGUUUGUUGUAAAUGAGAUUGAAAUUUUUGAAAAGUACCAAAGUACAUAUAUAGAUAUAUCUAUUAAAAUAGACAACUUAUAUUGGGAAUUUGAACUCAAGUUUUGGUGAGUGGUACAUUUGAUCACUCUCUUUUGCCCACUUAAUACCCUUUUGCAAAUGAUUUUAUCAUAAAGAGUGAUUCUUUAAAUUGAGAUAUAAGGAGGACUGUAUCUUAUGUGUUAAGACUUCAACUCUUACUAAAUUGUUGUUCAAGAUAGGAAAAAACAUUAUUCUCCUAUGAAUACUAUUAAAUCAUUUCUGACUGUUAUACACACAAUGUGUUAUAUUUAUGACUUAAUCAAUUGUCAAAUAGGAGAUGGAUACAAGCAAUUGGAAGCCUAUGGAAUGUGGUGAUUGGAGGUCUCAACUCCAAGUAUCUUCAACGCAAUGGAUUGUGAAUACGAUGUGUGUAUUUACUAUUUACACUGUUCUUUUAAAUUCUUUUUUUGUUAUUUUAUCUGCUUUUAGAAUUUAUAAUUUGAGUUUUGUCUUUAGGAAUUAUGACCAAACAAAAUGCACUAAUGAUGAUUCUUCUACUUUUGAUUUCUUCUAUAUAUGAAUUACUCUCUCCCUAAAUUUCCACACAUAUUUUAGGAGAGGAAUAGAACUAUAUAUGCCUAACUUAUAUGUUACAUAAUAGACCCCCAAAAUUAAAAUAAUUACAGAUACACAUGUACAAAAUAAACAUACAUCUUCUAACUGAUUUAUAUUUAUAUAUAUUACUUAGAACAAAUCUCUUGAAGAGGCAUGUUAGUUUAUCCGCACAUGAGGUGCAAUAUGUAAUUGGGAAAACAGCUGAGGGAUUUGAAGAGUUGAUUUAUAUUACUGCAACAAGUCAGGUUUGUCGUGUGUUCUAUUUACUGAUCUUCUUUAUUAUUUAUAGAGGGAAGAAAUUAUUGAAUAAAAAAAGAAAAAUGAUAUCAUGCUUAUCAUAUGUCAUAGAUACUUCAAUUCACUUGGUUUGCAGGUUGAUUAUUUAUAGAAGAUAUCCUUGAAAACGCAGAAGUUUGAAACCGGAUUACAGAAUCUCAUUCCAACUGCUAAUUGUGUGAACCCCUCACAUCCAGGUAUUUUCUUGAUAUGUUCUUUGAAUUGUAUUUAUGUUAUGUAUUUUUAUUUCUCAUCAUAUAUAUAUAUAUAUAUAUAUAUAUAUAUNAUAUAUAUAUAUAUAUAUAUAUAUAUAUAUAUAUAUUCUUAUUUUUUUGUUUAUUCCUGAAUGGACAGGUUCUCAGGUCACACAGCAAGUGAACUGCAAAGGCCAACAACAAAUUUUGCCACAUAUCAUGCACAAUUACAAGGAUUCAACCGGAAUACAAGGUUCUUCUAGUUCAUCCUCUAUAGAAUCUGGUGACUAGAAGAAUCAACUGAAUGCAUAUACACGACAAUUUUUUGUGAAUCAUAUGUGUGUAUCUAUGCUCAGUAAAUUUUCUUUAAUUUACGUUAUUCUAAGAAUUAGUUCUUAAAAUCGUGUUUUUCAUGCAUGUUGAUAUACGUAGAACGCGUAUCUUGAAUAUGCAUGGUCCGUUCUCUGGACAUGAAAUGCUAUAGGAACUAGAGAAAAUAGCUCGGAUGUUUGAGGAGAAUAAUUAUGCUACUGCAACAAGCAAGGUUUUUUGUGAUGUUUUGUGCUUGUAUUCUUUACUUUUGUAGUUUUUCCUUUUGAUUAGUGGAAUGCAGAUUUUUCAUGAGUCAUAAUUGCGUACAAAUGGAAGGACUUAUAAUUAUAUAUUACAAUGAAAUAUAAUGGAGCGAAAUACAAGAAAGCACAAACCACUGUGACCCUUUUAGCUGAAAGCCCCUCAAUUAAUUUGUUAACCAUUAAUAAAAUCUUUACAUUCCUUUUUAUUUUAUCCAAAUUACCAAUGAAAUUGUGUUUACCAUGUUAUAGAUACCAACAUGGCGAAUACAAAAAAGCUUUACAUUUCUUUUUAUUUUUUGUCCAAAUUACCAAUGAAUUUGUGUUUACCAAUUAAAGAUACGAACAUGAAAAUUUUCUUGUUUAUUAAUAUAUGAGGUGGAUUGUGUUUUUCAUUUGUUAUAACGUACUUUGGGACAUAAAUCCUUUUAAUUACUCAUUUGUUUUGCAGUAUGAGUAUUGUCAGAGGAUCAUGGUGAUUCUGAAAAUGAAAUCGCAAAAGAUCAUGCCAAAUGCUAUGGAGUCAAACUCUGGUGCUAAUACUAUAAACCUCUCAUAUUCAGGUAUUUCUGGAUAGAUUAUCAUUCAGUCUUAUGCCAUCAGUUUUAUAAUUGUGAAUUAUGUUGGGAGAAUUAUAUAUUUGUAACAAGGCAUCCAACAGAGACUAACAGAUGUACGUAUUUGAUAUAACGAUAACUUUUCGCAAUCGACAAAGAUAUCUACAUCAUGUCUUUUUAAUUUAUUUGAAGUGAUUCUUUGAUUUUGCGAUCUUAGAUCUUUUAGGUGCUGUUCAUAUAUUGUUUAUUGGACUUGAUGAUGAAUAAACUUAGUCAUGGAAAUGAGGCUUUUCCCAUCAAGUCCUAACUUUUUAUAAAGUUAUAAAUUUUCCCUCAUCGGUUUUCCCUCCGUUAUACCUAAGUGUGCCAUUAUUUGCACAAAUUUCAACUAUCAUUUAUUCAGGAAACACUUUAUAUAGACGACACUUGUGUACAAUUGUAAGUUUGAUUUAUUUUUCUAUCCUCACCAUAUAUUUUACUAAUAUUCUCUAUCUGUUCCCUAAUGAAUAGGUUCUCAGGUGAUGCAACUUUUUUAACGUGUCUUGCACAACAUCGAUUCAACUGGAAUUCAAGGUUCCUUCUAGUUUAUCCAUCUGCAUUACACAUGCAUGCACACACACAAGAUAUACAUAUAUAUAAAUAUACAUGCGUAUGUGUGUGUGUAUACACAUAGAUGGAUAGAUAUGUAAUCAUAAUAGAAAUGUAAAUAUACAUGCGUAUGUGUAGAUAUAAAUAGAAGUUAGUUUAUAAAUGCCACAAUUUAGGAAAUUGACAAAGCAAGGAAGCAUGUUUUUCGAGUGAAAAUGACCACUGAUUUAUUGAAUCAGAACUCAGAAGCUAGCCUUUUAUAGAAUUUACAAAGACUUUGUUACAACUAAUGCUAAUUUCCCUUUAAAUUGAUACCAAAACUUAGGCUACUAAUAGUUACAAGAUCUAAAGAGUAAAGACAUUCUUACAUUGAGCUAUUGUCUUACUUUUCAGCAAUUAAUGACACCUCCUUGGAAUCUAGUGAUUGGAGGGCUCAGCUGCAAGCAGAUUCAUGACAAUGGAUUGUGAAUACGAUGUAUGUAUAUAAACUCAAAAAGUUUUCUUAGUUUUGUGUUCUUUUACGAAUUUAAUCAUGCUAACCUCCUUAGAGUCUUACUUUAACUAUGAUGUUAGCAGUUGGUGACUCUAUAGUUUUUUAAUUUGUAAAAUCGUGGUUUCUUAUGCAUCUUGAUAUUACGUAGACUGGAUACCUUGAAGAGGCAUCUUCCGUUCUAUGAACAUGAGAUGCUACAGGAAUUUGAGAAAAUAGUUGUGCGAUUUGAAGAGAAGAUUUAUACUGCUGCAACAAGCCAGGUUUGUUUUGUUCUAUAUUUGUUAAAGUCCUGUGAUCUUGUUCUUUAUUUGUGGCUUUUGCUUUUGCUGAGAGUAAUGAAAAGAUAUUGCAGGAAUCACCAUGUACAAAUGGAAGGAUUUAUAAAAUAGAACAAUGAAAUGCUAUUGGACAAAAUGCAAAAAUGCACAUACCAUUCGACCCUUUUAUCAGAAAAAACCCUUUAAUUAGUUGUCGAGCAUUAAAAGCCUUUUAAUUUUAUCCAAUUUACCUGGGGAAAUUCUGUUUUCCGGUUACAUAACCAACAUGGCACUUUUCUUUUUGUUUUUUUCUUUGAGUCUUUUUGUCCAUAUAUCUUCGAAAAGCCAUUUCAUCAUCCAUAUCAUGGUAACCUGAAAACCUGCAAAAUGGACAAAAUCAAAAGGUAAAAAUUAAAAUAGCGCUUAGCAGAAAGUUAUAAUAGGGGUUUUUCCCGAUAAGAGGACCAUGGUAACCUGUGAUUUUCUGUAUUUCACCCAAACUUAUAAUGUAUUUCAUUUGUUGUAAGGUACUUUUGGUUUGGGACCUAAACUGUUUAGCUCAUUUGGUUUGCAGUCUGACUAUAUACAUAAGAUCUUCUUCAAGAGGCCGACUAUGGAAACGAUAUCACAAUAUCACAUGACAUACGCUAUGCAGUCAAACUAUGGUGCUAAUAGUGUAAACCCCUCGAAUCCAGGUAUUUCCGGAUAGAUUGCCAUUCAAUUUUUAAAAGUAUGAUUUUAGUGGAGAGAAUUUUUUGGAAUGAGGUAUCCAGCAGAUACUAACAACUAACAGAUCUACCUCAUUUUUUCGUAAAAGGAUAACUUUUCCUAAUCAAACCUCCCUAGAAAACAUAUAUGUACGCUAUUCUUUUAUUUUUUGACUUAAUGCUGAAAGAACGGCAUAUACAGAAAGUCAGGGCUUUCCUCAUUAAGUCCUAACUUUUGACGAAUUCCCCAUAAUUUAUUUUUUCCUUCCAUUUCCCCAAUUGUCUCAUUGUUAUCUCAAAUUCAAACAUCAUUUAUUCAUACAUACCACUUUAUCCGGAGUUUGAUCACUUUGUCAAAACGACAGCUUCUGAACUUCUAUAAAACACUUGUCAUCCAUAUAAGACUUUAUGUUAUUCGUGGUGUAUUAAACUUAAACAUUCGUUACUCGCCUUGAUUCUUCAAUAGAGCUUCCAGUGAGUUCCUUUUGACAAGCUCCAGAACACCUAUACACGGUGUUCUUACAAUUAGACAUUAUGUCCUCAUCACCCCUUGUAUAUGUAUAUAAUGAACAACAUGUCCCUAACCACUCACCAAUGAAUUUACAAUCCAUUUAUGUCACUUUACAUAAAUACGUGGUUGUUUCCGCUUCAUAAAUAUCAGUAAUAAAUAUCAAGAUACGUCAAUAAUGAGAUGACGGCUCAAUAAAUAUCAGUAAUUGCGGAAAAAACCUAAUUGAAACCUUUUCACAGAAAAGAAGUGUAUCGAUUACACAGCCUCCUGCUCUGAUACCAAUUGAUGAGAUUAAAACUUAAUUUUGAAGAUCGAUUAGAUCUUAAACAGGUAAAUAAAUAUUAAACAGCAAGAACACGAAAAUAAAGAACAAGUCAAGAAUGAAUCAAACGUGUCGAAUGAUUAUAAAAUAACCCUCAGAAGAGCUCGAUCAAGAACAUCAACUGUAGAGGGUUGGAGGUUUACAAGAAUGAUUAGGAAAACUGUAAAGCUAUCGUAAUUCUCUUAAAAACGCUUAAUCAUUAACCUAAUAUGCAUGCAAGCAUAAACUUAUAUAAUAAACCUAGCAAACUCACGGUUUGGAUAGGCCCAUAACCGGAGUACAAAAUAAAUAGACUAACAGCCGAGCCCAUUGACGCAAUCUUCAAACGAAUCUUCAACCCAACAAUCUCCCCCUUUGCGUCAAUUGGAGCGAGAUCUUCACUUGUUACUUGGGCCAGCAGCCGAGGCAGGUACCUUCUUCUUCACAGUAUUAACACAGACGCGAGAUGAGAGAAAGUAUCGUCUGUCUAAACCUGAUGUACCAUUGGAUCAUGUCGUUGAAGUACUUGACAUCAUCCGUUGCAUUCUCUUGNAUAUAAUAAACCUAGCAAGCUCACGGUAUGGACAGGCCCAAAACCGGAGUACAAAAUAAAUGGACUAACAGCCGAGCCCAUUGACGCAAUCUUCAAACGAAUCUUCAACCCAACACCUUACUUAGGUUUCCCUUUCAAAUUCUGACAUGCAUAAGGGUUCCAAUCAUCAUUCAUCUUUAUUCCCUCAAAUCCCCAAAUUUAUAUACACUAAAUGCAUUCCCAUCUUCAAGAAGGAAAAGGGAGAUCAUAUCUUGAUUUUCCAUCAAAUCUUGUAAAAUACAUCUCCAAUAAUAUAUAUCCCAAUAUAAACUUUCUACAUAACAUAUACCAAUCCUGACUAUAAUUAACUAGUUUAUAUGCAUUCUUUAUGGAACCAAAACCAUUGAUGCCUACGAUUUCUCAUUAAUGCAACUUACUUACAAACCAACACAAAACAUCCCAUCUUCCUAACAUCCUUAACUUGAUGCACCAUCACAUUUAGCUACUAAAUAAUAAUACUUGAAGUUUCCAAGAAAAACAACUUAUAAAAAUUAGGGAGUUACACCAUAUACUGUCAUUUGGCUAACCAUGAGUGAGAUUCGAGCAACGUACGAUUGUAUAUUUUCAUUACCUUCCAUGCAUGUUGACUUGAAGUUCUUUCCGAGGCAUUGCAAUGUCACUUUGUUUAAUGAAUAACAUCCCUUGUGUCCCAUUAGUGUGAAAGUCCUUUUUUUAAUCAGUUCCCAUAAAUCUUGUGAUCUUAGAAGUGCUUCUAGUUUGAUUCUCUAGAAUUCAUAGGAGUUGAAGACAAAAAUGAGAGUCUGUAAUAUAUGGACCGCAGAAUUACUUGAUACCAUCUUUCACAUGAAAUGACUUAUUGCUAAGACAAGUUAGGAGAGUAGCAAAUUUAUAUAUUGCAACCAGGAUCUGAUAUGAUAAUGUAGGAAAUUGACAAAUCGUGUUUUUGGAGUGAAAAUGACUGCUAUAUUAUUGAAUCAGAAGCUAGACUUUUAUAGGUUUUUUGUAGAGAUGUUACAACUAAUACUGAUGCACUUGAAAGUUGAAACUGAAACUACAAAUCAUGCAAUUACUAAUACAAGACAUAAAGACCUUUCCAUUUCCAUAGUUCUAGCAUCUAAUUUUAAAUUAUUUUCAUGAAUUACUAUUCAGCAAUUGGUGACUCAUCUGGUGAUUGGAGGUCUCAACUGCAAGAAAAUUCACGACAAAAGAUCAUGAACAAAAUGUGCGUAUUCAUACUCGUAAACUUCUCAGUUUUAUGUUCUUUAAAAAUUUUAUGCUAACCUGAUUACAGUCGUACUUUAACUAUGAUGAUGUUAGUGUUGGGAUUUUCUAGUUGAUAUUGUAGCUAGCCUCAUGUAUAUAAAUAGUCUCAUGUUAGUUUUACAAGUGAUGAUUGUAAAGUCAGUUAUCAAGAACUCUACUCAUCAAAAUGUAUGGUCUAGUUUGUGGAAGUCUAUAACCAAGUGUAAUUAUAGGAAUUCAAUUAUAUUGUCCAACCAGGUAAUCAUAGCUCUACAGUCUAGAUCUAUGUAUACUGACUCGUCGAGUUUAAAUUUUGUAUUCAAAUCUGGUGUCUUAGUGAUAUUGAUACUAUUCUUGGGUUCUUGAGUUGACAAGUUUUAUAAGCUUUUGCGAGGAAGAGUGAGGUAUAUUCAAAUAUUGAUUCUUUUCACGUUAUUUUUGUGAGUGCUUUUAUUUAAGAUGCCUUUUAAAGAGCCUAGAUUUGUUUCUUAGAGGAAUGAAAGUUGUAGAAAUAUUAUUUUGAGAGAGGAAGCUCUUCCUAUUACAUGUGUUCUUCCAUUUGGAAUAUGAACUUGCUAGUAGUUCAUUGAAUACGAUGCUAAUGCAUAAGAGGUACUAAGGAGACAUGUGAAGGAUGUCAUAUAGUUAAAGAAUGGUUUUAGAGGUUGAACUUUUACAAAGGUAGGAUUUUUAUUGUUUUUUAAACCAUUUACCUAACAUUAGUUUAUGUCAUCAGUGAUUUUAGUUUCAUUGAGUCAUGUUGGGUGAUGGGAAUUACAUGGGUGCUAAGGGAAUGUAGACUAUGAUUUUAUAUGAGUUAAGGGGUGUGGACUGCAUAUUUGUAUAAGGCUAGUUUGAUCCCUAACAUGAGGAUUGGUGGGGUCAAGGGGAAGGACACUUUGUAGUGGUCUUGAAACUAAAUGGAUUUUCUGAUUGUAAUAUAGUUGAAAAGUUGGACAGAAGUGGAAACCCAAAACUGAAAAGUCAAUGUUUAGGAUGGUGAUCAAGAUGUGUGUAUUUACUAUUUACAUCCUUCUCUUAUAUUUCUUAAUUUUAUGUUCAUUAAGAAUAUGAUCAUGGUAAUCUUAUGAGUUCUGACUGUCAUAUCUCGACAUUAUGUAGAAUGGAUACCUUGAAGAGGCAUCCUCGAUUCUAUGGAUAUGAGGGGCUAUAUGAACUUGACAAAAUAGCUGAGAGGUUUGAAGAAAAGAUUUAUGCUGCUUCAACAAGUCAGGUUUGUUGUGUGUUCUAUUCUAUGACAUAAUGUUUUUUCAUAUAUGGUAAGUUACUUGGGGACCUAAAUAUAUUAAUUAAUUUGGUUUGCAGGCUGAUUAUUUGGGCUAGAUAGCCUUGAAGAUGUUACCCAUGGAGACUCGAUCACAAAAUACUAUGCCUGAGUCAAACUCUGUUGCUACUAGUGUAAACCUCUCAGAUGGUAUUUCCGGAUAUAUUUUCAUUUAAUCUUAUGUCAUUAGUUUUAUAAAUAUGAUUUUUAGGGAGAAUUUAUCGAUGUAGCCCUCUUUAGAAAAGAUUUGUACGCCAUCGAUACCUUUUAAUUUCUUUGACAUGAUUUUUUGAUUUUUGACUUAAUGCUGGCAAGACUUAGGGGUUGUUUCUUCUUUUUCCUCAUUAAGUCUUGUAUGGGUAAGGCCAAAGUGAUGUAUAUAUAUAUAUAUUAUAAAGUCAAUUUCUUUUCUAGACUAAAUAAAUCGUCUGAACCAAACUAAAUGUCAAUUUUAGCCUUAUAUUCGUUUCGAGUUCUUUUAAAACAACACGAAAGGAAAAAAGAAGGAUAAAUAGUCAAAAGAAACACAUGUAUAUCUAUUGUGAUCAAGUGCAUAACACAUAAAACUUAUUAAAUGAAAAAGAAACCGCCUCUUAAUAUGGUAAGCUAUAUAUGGGUUUAGUGCAUAAUGAACGAAUUAUAACAUAAAAUCAGAGAAAUGGAGCUUAAGAAAAAACCUGAGAGGUUUGAAGACAAGAUAUAUACAGCUGCAACAAGCUAGGUUUGUUGUGUGUUCUAUGACAUCAUGUUCUUUCAUGAUAUGGUAAGCUACAUUGGACCUAAUUUUUUUAAUUAAUUUGGUUUGUAGUAUGACCAUUUGCGAAAGAUAUCCUUGCAGAUUUCGUCUAUGGAAACUAGAUCACAAAAUCCUAUGCAAUCAAACUAAGCGAGAGGCCUCUAACAUAUUAAUACAUAAUGCAUGACAGUAAAUGGUUGUCACAAAACUAAAUCGUUGUGAUGACAAUUACGAACUUCACAUUCGUAACAUAACCUAAGAAACGUCUUUUAUGAUAUUUGACUUUUACCAUUUAUGGCAUUGUACUUCAGUUACUUGGUCAUGUUUACAAUACAACCCUCUUCUGAAAAGAUAUGUACGUCAUGCCUUUUAGUUUGAUAGUUUCUUUGAGAUGAUUCUUUGAUUUUUGACUUAAUGGGGACAAGACUUUGGGACUGUUUCUUCUUUGAUUUUCGUCUUGUAUUCCAUUUUUUUCCAACGUGAGGAUAAAAUAGGUAGAGUUAGUGUCUUAAUACAUCGAGUUUUUUUGCUUAGCCCAUUAAGUCAUUUUGUCCUAUUAAGUCAAAAGAAACAACCAUGUUUAGCUAUUGUGAUCAACUGCUUCACACAUAAAGCUUAUUAACUAAAAAAAGCUUCUUAAUACAGUAAGUUAUAUAUGGGUUUAGUGCCGAAAAAAUGAAUUAGUACAUAAAGUCAGAGAAAUUUGGCUUUCACUAAUAAGUCCCAGAUUUUUACCAGUAUACCCUCAUUUCUUUUUGUCCUUCUAUAUCCCCGCAUGUGUCAUAAUUAUCUCACAUUCAAACAUCAUUUAUUCAUACAUCUUAUCGAAAGAACACAAGCGUAUAAUAGUAUUUUUAGUAUUUAUUUUCCCAAUAAACCAACUACAAAUCAAUAUAUAGAUAUAACAAGAAAAAGGAACAAAAGAUUCUCUGAUUAAUUGAACUCACUUGACAAUAUUAAAAAAUUACAAGAAAGGUUUAAGGGUUCAGAUAUUCAAGAGUCUAGCCUCUCCUAAGGAAUAAAUUCCAUAUUUCACAAGAGAUUUUGCUACGCCCAUUCCCUCUACCCUUUUAUAAGCCACUAUUUUAACAAACUAAAUAGCAUAAUUACCCAAAAUACCCUCAUUCAUAAUAUGCUCUUUAUUUUUGUUAAAUUAUAUUAAUAUCCCUUUUAAAAAUGCAUGCCUAGAAUGGAUGUGUAGCACCGUCAUCAUAUAUUUAGGGUCCUAAACACUAAACACAUAGACUAUGCUAAUGAAGAAUGUUUCGAUUCUAAGACAUUUAGUUGUAGAAAUUAUACGGUCCCAUAGUUUCAAAACAAGUUUAAAAGUUAAAAGUAGGGAAGAUGUUCCAAUAGAAUAUCAUAACAUGAGGUGGCCUUUUCAAAAGUCCUUGAUACUUAGCACAUAUUAAAACAAGUUAGACAAUGGAAUUAUUUGAAUAAUACCUCCAAAAUCAAUGAAAACAUAAAAAAAUAUAGAAAUAAGGGUUUAAAGGACCCAAACCAAACCAAACCAAAAGGGUAUUAUAUAACUCAUAGUUCCAAACAUAUUAAUGUUGAGUUUCAUUAAUCCUAACAAAGAAUAAUUACAUAGGCAACGAAAAGAACAAAAUUUAUUCUAAGGCAAGUUAAAAUCUAAACACUAUAAGGAUCUUAAUCUAAUAAUAUAAACAACAAAACACUUAAGAGAUACUAAGCUUAGAAAAAAAAUCGCAUUUUUCUAACUUAGAAGAUCCUUUUUAUGAAUUUCGAAAUCCUUGAGGCUCUUGAAAGAGCUAGCACCUAAAGUAGAAUGUCUCUAAUGAAUCACACCCAAAAGACUAAUUACUAGAAGAGAGGAGAGAGUAAAGGGAGAGCCAAAAUCUCGAUCUUAAGAUUGCUUAGAGCAAGGGACCAAAUUUUUGGGAGCCAGGAUGGGGUAUUUAUAACUGGAGGUUACUUGCAAAUAAAGCGGAUUUGAAUAAUUAAAUAAUCCAAUUUAAUCCAAAAUUCACAUCCUUUCUUAUCCAUACCAUAUGGAUGAAAAUCCGUAGGAUUAUCCUAAGGAAUUUUCAUCAAACCCUAACUAGGGUUCCAGAAUAUUUCACCUAUUCAACUGUUGAAUAAUUACAAUUCAGUCAUCCAUGUACUUUUAAUUAAUACUAAAUUAAUUUGAAAUUAAUUCUAAAUUAAUUCUAACUAGUUUCUAAUUAAUAAAUCUAGUUAUGAUAAGUUAAUAAACUAUUUAUCUAUAUAUCAUAAAAUAUUUUUCUAGUUCUUUUAGCGCUUGAUGGCAACCCUAAAAGGACUUUGUUAUUAUUCCUAAAGUUAUACCAAUUAGUUAUGACAUCGGACACCCAUUUUCAAUAGUUACCCACUUGGGCAAUUCAUCAACUACUAUUGGUCGAAUAGCUUCAGAUAAUCAACAAAGCAUACCUUCCACAACAUAUGUCGAACUUUGAUCAAAUCAAGAAUCAACCCUUAGAUAAGUGAUCAAUUAUUCAUUUGUUUCUACAAGAUAUAUGUAUGAACUGACUCAUGGAUUUAUGAAUCAACCUUACACUUCAAAAUAAUGUUUUUUGGUUAAUGAUUUAUGAUGACCAAAUCAGACUAAUCGAACACAUCAUUUUAGUCCGGGCUAGGCCUAACACUAAGAUGUCAACAUCAAACCAUCAAGGGCUCCAUGAUAUCGCUUUUCCCAUUAAGGCAAAAGGAACAAAUAAACUUUGAUUGCAUAGUUUUUUUUUCUACUUGUCAUAUCAUGCAUAGACUUACUCUUUAUAAACACCAAUUAUGGAUAGCGUUAGAGUAAGAAUAAUAUACAACCAACUUGUUUGCAAAGAACUCAAUGUCUCUCUGUUUUAAGAAUAAAAUAUAUUAUCAUCUCAGAAUUACUCGUGACUGAAUCCAUGAAGUAAUCUCUUUGAGUAUGGGUUUCUCUAUUACUAAAAUAUCUAUUAAGUACUCAUGAAUGUUAGUCGCAAUCUCCAUGCUAUGUCUAAUCACUAUAAACAAUCUACUAAAACUUCAUGACAAUAUUAUCUCAAUACUUACUUCCAAGAGUAUAGCCGAUUGUGGAUGUUUGAGUAAAUUAGUAUUCUGGAAGUGGGGAUCUAAACAUGCAAAAACGAAACACAAUAAUAAAUUAAUUGUAAAUGGUAACACUCCUGAAUACAAAUACUUCUCUAUUAUUUAAUCAUCAAAACAAUUACUAAACUUAAAAUCAUCUCUCAUGCCUAUGCUCCUAGCAUGCACAUUAUGUCUUUUCUUGGUCAGUCCCUUUAUGAACGGAUCAGCUGGAUUUUCUUAUGAUGACACUCCCUUCACAGUAAGAUCUAUAUCCUUAACUCUAUCUUGAAUGUAAUGAAACUUCCUCUUUAUAGGUUCUUUAAUUGGAUGAUUGCACCUUCGUUAUCACAAAAUAUUUUCAUGGGAUCUUUAUUGCUCGUAACAACUCCAAGAUCACCAAUGGAGUUCUUAGUCCAGGUAGCUUCCUUGGACGCCUCGCUAGCAGCAGUAUAUUCAAACUCACAUGUAGAGUCUACCACCAUUUCCUGUUUAGAACUUUUCCAUCUCACCGCACUACCGUUUAGCAUGAAUAACCAUUUAGACUAUAAAUUGGGGUCAUCUCUAUGCGUUUGGAAAAUUGCAUCACUAUAACCCUUCAUAACAACCUGUUUUUCACUUCCAUAAACAAGAAACAUAUCUUUUGUAUUUCUCACAUACUUAAGAAUCUUCUUGAUAGACGUCUUAUGAAUUUGCCCAUGGUUUUCCUAAUAUCGACUCACCAUGCUCAAAACAUAUGAAACACUAGGACGUGUACAUGUCAUAAUGUACAUGAUCUACCCUAUAGGUGAAGCAUAUAGGAAUUUUCUCGUUUCAUCAUAUUCAUCACUAGAACUAGGACAUUGAGAUUUACACAAUUUUAUGCUAUGAUGCAUAGGAACAUUUCCUUUCUUGGAAUUUUCCAGAUUGAAUCUUUUUAAUACCUUAUCCAUAUAAGUACUUUGACUAAGUCCUAUUAGACACCUAGAUCUAUCUCUAUAGAUUCUUAUACCAAGUAUGCAUGCUGCUUCACCCAAGUCCUUCAUAGAGAAACAUUUUCUAAUCCAUGUUUUUACACUUUGCCAAUUAGGGAUAUUGUUUUAUGUGAAUAGUAUGUCAUUUACAUACAAUGCUAGGAAGACAACGACACUCCACUAGCUUUGACAUAUACACAUGACUCAGCUGGACUUUUAGAAAAACCAUACGCUUCGAAUUUUUCAUGGAAGCACAGAUUUCAGCUUCGUGAUACUUAUUUAAGUCCAUAUAUGGACCUCUCAAUCUUACACACUCUAUCUGGAUACUUGACAUGUUCAUAAAGUUUAGGUUGUGCCAUAUACACAUCCUUUAAAAUUUCCCAUAAAGAAAAGUGGUUUUAACAUCCAUUUACCAUACCCCCUAAUCAUAAAAGGCAGCAAUGUCAACUAGUAUCCAAAUAGACUUUAGCUUACCUACUGGUGAGAACAUUUGCUCGUAAUCAAUUCAUUGAGUUUAAGAGAAACCUUUUACCACUAACCUAGCUUUGAAUUUAUGCACAUUCCCAUCCAUGCCGCCUUUCUUCUUGAAGAUCCAUUUACAGCCUACUUUCUUAAGACCAGGUGUUGGAUCGACCAAAUUCCAAACUUGGUUAUCCUUCAUGGACUGAAUUUCAAUGUCCAUUGCGUCUUUCCACUAGGCAGCCUCAGAGUCUGCCAUCGCUUCCUUGUAGUUAGCUGGAUCAUCCGUAUUAACUAGUAUUUUAUCACCAAUCAAUUUCGUUCCUUCUGAAGUUAUAUGGAAACUAUAAAACUCGGGAGGAGCAAUAACUCUGCUAGAUCUAUGAAGAGGUAAGGAUAUUUCAUUUUGAUCAACAGGUUUCUCAACCUCUAGUUGAGUGCUAGUGUCAACUAUAGGUUCACUGUAAGUUGACUCUUGAAUUUCCUCAAGGUCAAUUUGACUCCUACUAACUUCUUGAGAUAUAAAUUUCCUCUCAAGAAACACUCUUUUUCGAGCUACAAACAAGAUGUUUCAAUGGGUCUGAAAACAACUAUCCAAAAGGAUAUUGUGGAUAAAUGACAAAAUGAAACUUCUUAGAUAUGGAUUCAAGUUUAUCUUGGGUUUUGCGCCGAACAAAAACCUCAUAACCCCUUACCUUAAUGUGAUUAAGUGAAGGAACUUUUCCAAUCCACAUCUCCUGAGGUGUCUUUGAAACCUUCUUAGUUGGUACGAGGUUUAAUAUAUGGGUUGUUGUUUCAAGUGCAUACCCCUAAAACGUUACUGGUAAUGAAGCCUGACUCCUCAUAGAUCGAAGAAUAUCCAAUAGGUUUUUUUUUCUCAUUUCAGCAACUCCAUUAAAUUGCGGUGUUCUUGCCGGAGUUAAUUGUGAAAUAAUUCCACAAUCUCUAAGAUGAUUGUUGAACUCAAUACUAAGGUACUCUCCACUCUGUUGGAUCAGAGAACCUUUAUCUAAUUGCCUAAUUAAUUAUCUACUUCAUUCUAAUACUCUUUUUAGAUUGGGGAACCUUUAUCUUCUGCCUAAUUGAUUCUUUACUUUAUUCUAAUACUCCUUAAACUUUUUAAAGGUAUCCUACUUAUGUUUGAUCAAAUAAACAAAACCAUAUCUACUAAAAUCAACAAUAAAUGUAACGUAGUAGUGUUUAUCUUCCCUUGUGGUGGAUCUAAAGGGUCCAUACAAACCUAUGUGUAUGAGAUCCAACAAUCCUUCACCUCAUUCACAAGUCCAUGUGAAUGGUAUUUAGUCAUCUUUUCUAACAAGCAAGACUCACAACCAUCUCCAAUUUUAAGUCGAAUGAUUCCAUGUUUCACUCUGAUUGGAUCUUAGCGAUGCGUUUCUUAUUUAUGUGGUUAAGGAAAUAAUGUCAUAUGUAACACCGUAAAUUUCCAAACAAAUUUUUCAUUUUUAAUUUCAUAAAACACAUGUCAUUUUAGAUAAACACCAUUUAAUAGUCAACAAAGUUUUCAAAACAUUAUCAAAAUCCAGGAUCCCCAUUCGUGACUCUUUUCUCUGGUGUGUACAAUCGAGCCGCCGCCUUCCCAUGAUCCUGAUAAGAACCUGAAACACAUAACACAUAACACGGUAAGCACAAAGCUUAGUGAGUUACCCAAAUACCGCAUACAACACAUACGCCACUCGAGGCUACAGUACGACCCUCCGGUCGAUGUGUCUCAGCGGGACCCUCCAGUCCCGUAGCUCGUUGGACCCUCUGGUCUAGUCAUAGCUCGUUGGGCCCUUCGGAUCGGUCUGUAUCGUUGGACCCUCCGGUCCGUUCUGUAUCAUUGGACCCUCCAGUCCGGUCUGUAUCAUUGGACCCUCCGGUCCGGUCUAUAUAAUCAUAUAACAUACAUAUAUCACAUAGCACAUAAGACCCUCCGGUCAACACAUAAAUACCACUCUAGGUAACUUAUAGUGAGAAGACUCACCUCGAAUGAUGAACGGCUCCUACAAAUGUCGUCGUUGCGUACCAGCCUCUACCUCUGAGCCAUAUCUACAAUGAUCUCAAAUUAGGAUCUAAGUCCCAACCCUCAUUCUCUAGGCCUAAAGGUAGUCCACUAACUAGUCCAUAAAUAACCCCAAAACCCAUUGGGCCCAUCAAGGCCCAAUAAUAAAUGGACUCUAGCAAGGCCCAACUCUCAAGUCUAAGAGGCAAGCCCAACUCAAGGGCCCAAGGCACAUAUACAUAUCCCUCUAGUCCAAAUCUCUAGCACAAAAAUCCCAAACUCCAGGCUCAACACUUAAGGCCCAAUAUAAGACUUAGCCCAAAAACUCCACAGUGGGGUUACGCGGGGCGUACCUCCCUUGGUACGCUCAGCGUACUCCAUCACACAUGAAUCCUGAUCGGGGACACCGAAAUAGUACGCGGGGCGUACUAGAUUUACGCUCAGCGUAUGCCCAAAUUUACUUUUUCAACUCUUUUGGUCUUAAUCAGUUAAGACCAUAACUAUACUCUUAGAUAUGGAUUCCAUAAAGGCUCAUACUCAAUAAAGCUCAAGACUUUAAGCCUUUGCAUGGCUGAUCAAGUUCCUAAGGCAAAACUCUCACUCUUUACUACCCAAAAAAUCUCAUAUCUCAUGCAUGGUUUGAUUCCAACAUCCAAGGACUCAAUUUUAUGAAUCCUUUCCACUAGAAACACUUAAAGGGACAUAUAUUAGGCUGUGGAGCUUAACCACUCAUAAUGCUUCAAGCUUUGGGACCAAAAACCUUAAAAUGGCCCAAAAUAAAAACUAGCACAAUAAUAAGCAAGUUCAAAACUUGAUACCUCUGGAGGAUGCACCAACAAGAGAAGAACAUAGAUCCAAAAGCUAGGUGCUCAAGCCAUUCUCUUUCAAAUCUCCUUCUUCUUCAAAAGCCAAACACAACAAAUCAUCACCCCACUAGAUCCAUAUGAGAAAACCACCAAGAUUCAAACUUUAUGCUUUCUGGAGCUAGAUCAACAUGAUUAGGGCUUGGAUCCAUAAGCUCUAAGCCAAGCAAUGCUUCCUCAAGAAACUCCUUCUUCCACAAUAUGCACCAAAAACUCACUAAAUCACCAAAGUCCUCAAGAAUCACUCAAAUGGAUGCUUAGGGUCGAUUUCUAGGGUUUAGAGGGAUGGAGACUGAAGGUAUUGGGGUUAGGUUAUGAGAUAAGGACGUUAAAUAGGGUCCAAGACCCUAAAAUAGCGUUCAGGUUUGUUUGGCGUACGCCCAGCGUACUAUGAAGAACAUUCGCGACCCUCCCUGGUCAGUACGCCCAGCGUACUCGGCUAAGCCUAAAACCACAAAACUUGUGAAGGCCAUAACGUCUUCGUUAUAAGUCCGUUUCCGACGAUCCUUAUAUCCACGGAAAGCUAACGAGAAGCCCUACACCUCUAUCAACUUUAUUCCUCCUGAAUCCCACUCGAACGUAAAUCCAAAAUUCAUGAAAAGCUCGAACCAGCGCCUUAACAAUACAUUCGGGCUCUAAAGCACAACCGAACUCUUUUAUCACACAACCUACCUCACCCACAUCCCAAAAGGGCAUAACCUUUCUCUUUCAAUGCCUCAAAACCUUCUCAUACUCGGAUUAAGGCCUAUGGGCCUUAUAUCACAAAACAAUCCGGAACAGGGUGUUACAAUUCUCCCCCACUUGAAAUAGAUUUCGCCCUCGAAAUCGCUCCUUAUCAACACAUAGGUCGAACCCAAUGAUUCAAGAAGCACCAUCGAAAGAACCCCAUAUCAUAAAACAAUCUCUUCCAAAAAUACUUAAACCCAAUAGGAACUCCCGACCCCGAAGAAGGACAGACCCUUCUGCCGCUGCGGUACUCGAUCUUUCUCUCCAGAACUUGAAAACCAUACUGGUCUGUCUCCCUACCAGACCACCCUCGCAAUCUCAUCAUGUUAAUCGCUCAUCGAAUAACAUACUCUAAGAGUACUCUACCAAUUUUGAUUCUCUAAUCGAUCCCGGUCGCAACUCAAAAGGGAGGGAAAGGUCAUAUCCCACUAAGGACCUACUGCCUAAACAACUAUCAUAACUCUUCUGAAGGAAUAAUCCUCAAAACUCUAUCCUCAGACACAAAGAAGCGGUCAAGCCGGCUCGGAACGAUCCUUUGGCACCCAGAAUCAUAAGCCCUAGUUCCUCUCAAAUGUUCCAUCCGACACUGAACACCAGGUCAACCCUUGACCCGACAGUUGGAACUUCAAGGGCUACCCACUGCACACCCAAUAAAACGACUUACCGGCUUCCUUCUCACAAUAACUAUCUCGGCCCAUCAUGACACACAAGUGCCAAAGUUUGCUUUACCCCAAGGGAAUACUACAAUCACAACUGAAAUCGUCUCACCCUCGACCCUAUCGUCUACAACUUAUUAGCUUCAUACAUCUCGCGUUCCGUCCAAUACAAACGAACUGACCCACACAGGUCUAAAACAUCAGAUGACACACAAUACCCCUCAAAAGGAACCCACCUCUAAGCUUGGAAUCUCAUCUUGCCUUCACAUUACACCACUAGAGCCAAAUCAAACUCAAGAGUCUGGCUCGACGCGAAAUUGGAAUCACUCGUCCCAACGAUGCUCUCAACUCAUAACUCAUGACUCGCAACUUUAGCGUACAUCAUUACAUCCAAUUCCUUCUGAAUGCGAUAACCAUACCUUAACUGAGAAUACAACGACUCCCGACCAUUAGGAUAGACCCUAGUCUCGCCCAUGUCCUGUCUACCAGAUUCCCACAGACUCACUGAUAAGGCUACCUAAGCCUAGGAACUCCUCUGCGUCAUGCUCUGGCUAGUGGAAACUAUGGCUCCCCGCAGUCCCACAACGUUGUCUCACUAACCGGUGAAAGCUAUGGCUCCCCGCAGUUUCACAAUGCUCCCUCACUGCUUGGCAAAUACUAUGGCUCCCCGCAGUAUCGCCACAUCAUAUCGUUGGCUGGUAGAUGCUACGGCUCCCCGCAGUAUCACCACACUCUCUCGCUAACCAGCGAAUACUGCGGCUCCCCACAGUAUCACAACACUCUCUCGCUGACUAGUGAGUACUUCAGCUCCCCAUAGUACCCUGAUACCCUCUUCCACUCAAGCACUCGGAACCUCGAAAUAUUCCUAUCUCACACAUUGAAACACGGAGGAAAUAUCACUGACUGAAAACAAAUUGACUAAAUUCCGAAGCUGCAUCCUCUACUGAUCACCACCCAAGCGAAACUACUCAUUCUGACUCUGAAAUUGGUCGACAAAUCCACAGCUGCCCCUCCUGAAGUAUAGAUCACAAUCUAUACCUAUACCCGCAAAUCUCAACUAUUGCACCCUGAACUCAUCGAGCCAAUCUCCUCGAACUCAACAUUUUGCAAACCCGAAAGAUCCCUAGCCAUAAUAAAUUCUCUGACCAAUGACCUACCAUCGUGGAUUCACUCACCCUUUCGCAAGCACAUACACAUACAUCAUCUUGCAUCGAACCUCACCUCUUUCACCAAAUACCCAGGUUUCAUGUGUCCGCACCGCAAAUCUUCAUAACCAAUCCUAUAACCUCACUUUAACGGAUUGCUGAUCCUCUCAAUAGAAUACCCAGUUCUCCCCCACUCAGGGUUCGAACCAUCAGCAAUUGGUAUACCAACAAUCUAUUCCAUAGACUGUUUCACCAGGUAUAUCACACUUGACUCUUGGAAUGUGUCACGUAAUCGAUUUAAUGAUCUUCUUGAUGGAAACCAAGAAACUCCACAUAUCCCAACUUUGACCAAAAAUCUCAGAACCCUCCCAGCGUGACUGCCUCUAUUCAUCUCGAAGCCUCAAACCGACACACUGUCGGGUACCCCACUGCUUCGAAUUAGAUCUGACUCUCAGUCCGGAAAUGAUGUACAAUCACACACCUCGACUCUGACUCCUCGACCCGUUUUCCUAAAUCGGAAAUACUCAUAAAAGCAAUAUAUCUCACUCUCAUCAUCGAUACACAACAUAGACCAUAGGGGACACCGCCUCGAUAUACUCCUCUUAGGCAGUGGGAACUCGCAGCAAACAUACUGCCCAAAUACUCUGGUGAAAAGGUCACAGCCCCUUGCUACCCCACCGGAUCCACCUCCAACUCUGAAACUGGAAGUUCAACACCCCUGCUGCUUCUCACAGAAAAUAGCACAAUUAUGGUCAUAGAAAAAUGGCAUAUCUGCUAUCGGCCGACUGCUCAACUCAGACCGUAAUCCUCCAAAAAGUACCACCUCUACUUAUCCCUGAGUCUUGUGACUCCAACUGACAUCUCACCAAAACGUCUCAGGAACCAACUCGAUUUCUCUUCAAGGUAUGCUCAAUUGAAACUCGUUCAACAUGGCCCUCUUUCCUCACACUCUAUCAUGUCUCAUCCCAGUCUGAUCAAUCUCAACGGAAUUACUGGUAAAACCAGAAUCACCAUCCGCCACGAAUCAUGGUACUCGAACCAUGCUAUCUUCUCUCAAUCUACUACGAAUCAUGGUACUCGAACCAUAUGAUCACCUCUUAACCUGCUACCAAUCAUGGUACUCGAACCAUGACAUAACCUCCCGAUCUGCCACCAAUCAUGGUACUCAAACCAUGACAUCACCUCUCGAUUUGCCACCAAUCAUGGUACUCGAACCAUGACAUAACUUCUCGAUCUGCUACCAAUCAUGGUACUCAAACCAUGAUAUCACCUCUCUAUCUGCUAGUUAGAACCUCUAGAAUUUUCCCUGUAUCGAGUAUCGGUCCUCUGCUUUUCAGUAGUACGGGCCCAUACUACCUGCCACAUCUACCCAUACUUUCCACACGGACCAUCCCAGAUUUCGUAAGUAGCUGCUCAACUUCCUUAAUCACCAUUCCCGUCAUACCUGGUCGCCCUCCUGCGAAAUGCUUUACUCUAUCGGCGUACUCAUCUGACUAAGGUCACAACCUAGGCUGAUCCUAGGUUCUCACACUUCUCCGCCAUCAUCUGCUGAGAAACUCCUUAUGAUGCCAGUCAUCUACCUCCUGAAUAUCGUCAUAUUCACUUGGUAGCUAACUCCCAUCAUCAGGAAUUCCACAAAGCACGAAACAAGCAACAAUCAGGCAUCGAAUAAACAAGUAAAACUCGCUCUAGGUGAUAACUCCACUUGCUCUACUCAUACUCAAAAGAUAUCACCGAACCCUGCAACUCUACCCCUCGCGGGUAUCUAGCUACUCUCUCGGUAGUCUUCAUAAAUGCUCAUCUAGGUAUCUCUCCAAGAUUACUCUUCUACUCAAAUUACCCUCUACAAGGGUUCCCGCUGGAUACUCUCACUUAGUACAUACUUGAAAGCGCAUCACAGAUAACAACAACUCCUAGGUUAAGGCAUCACAAAUCAGUCCACUCUAGUCCUUAAAUAUGAAAUGCCUAGCCUAAUCUCUAGCAUGUAUAACAUAUCACAUAUCAUUCAUAACACACAACGUAAGGGUAUUUUGCGAAAUCACCGUUCAGGCGCUGGCUGAUUGUACACACUGCUCGUUUCCUCUUUCUCUUAAAAUUCUCUUACUCAUCUUUCGAAAAACCGUUCCUUUUGAAAACUUUUUGCAAAUCCUCAGUUUGAGUCCAGACAUACCCGAAGGUGUAUCCGAAUCCCUCAAACCAAGGCACUGAUACCAACUUGUAACACCGUAAAUUUCCAAACAAAAUUUUCAUUUUUAAUUUCAUAAAACACAUGUCAUUUUAAAUAAACACCAUUUAAUAGUCAACAAAGUUUUCAAAACAUUAUCAAAAUCCAGGAUCCCCAUUCGUGACUCUUUUCUCUGUUGUGUAAAAUCGAGCCGCCGCCUUCCCNAUUAUGCCGGUGCCAUCCCGUGAUCCUGUGAGAAACCCGAAACACAAAACACAAAACCCUGUAAGCACGAAGCUUAGUGAGUUCCCCAAAAUACCGCAUACAACACAUACGCCACUCGAGGCUACAGUACGACCCUCCGGUCGAUGUGUCUCAGCGGGACCCUCCAGUCCCGUAGCUCAUUGGACCGUUUAAUCUGGUCAUAGCUCGUUGGGCCCUUCGGUCCGGUCUGUAUCAUUGGACCCUCCGCUCCGGUCUGUAUUAUUGGACCCUCCGGUCCGGUCUGUACCGUUGGACCCUCUGGUCCGGUCUAUAUAAUCAUAUAACAUACAUAUAUGACAUAGCACAUAAUCUCAUACAUAGCACAUAAGACCCUCCGGUCAACACAUAAAUACCACUCUAGGUAACGUAUAGUGAGAAGACUCACCUCGAAUGAUGAACGGCUCCUACAAAUGUCGCCGUUGCGCACCAGCCUCUGCCUCUGAGCCAUAUCUACAAUGAUCUCAAAUUAGGAUCUAAGUCCCAACCCUCAUUCUCUAGGCCUAAAGGUAGUCCACUAACUAGUCCAUAAAUAACCCCAAAACCCAUUGGACCCAUCAAGGCCCAAUAAUAAAUGGACUCUAAUGAGGCCCAACUCUCAAGUCCAAGAGGCAAGCCCAACUCAAGGGCCCAAGGCACAUAUACAUAUCCCUCUAGUCCAAAUCACAAGCACAACAAGCCAAAACUCCAGGCCCAAUAUAAGACUUAGCCCAAAAAGUCCACAGUGGGGUUGCGCAGGGCGUAUCUCCCUUGGUACGCUCAGCGUACUCCAUCGCACACGAAUCCUGAUCGGGGACACCGACCUAGUACGUGGGGCGUACUAGAUUUACGCUCAGCAUACGUCCAAAUUUACUUUUUCAACUCUUUUGGUCUUAAUCAGCUAAGACCAUAACUAUACUAUUAGAUCUGGAUUCCAUAAAGGAUCAUACUCAACAAAGCUCGUGACUUUAAGCCUUUGCGUGGCUGAUCAAGUCCCAAAGGCAAAGCUCUCACUCUUUACUACCCAAAAAUUCUCAUAUCUCAUGCAUGGUUUGAUUCCAACAUCCAAGGACUCAUUUUUAUGAAUCCUUUCCACUAGAAACACUUAAAGGGACACAUAUUAGGCUGUGGAGCUCAACCACUCAUAAAGCUUCAAGAUUUCGGACCAAAAACCCUAAAAUGGCCCAAAACAAAAACUAGCACAAUAAUAAGCAAGUUCAAAACUUGAUACCUCUGGAGGAUGCACCAACAAGAGAAGAACAUAGAUCCAAAAGCUAGGUGCUCAAGCCAUUCUCUUUCAAAGCUCCUUUGUAACAACCCGAAAUUCAUAUCCCUAAAUGUAACCCUACUCGCGACUCGUUCCGAUCAUCUAAUCGUCGUUCCCGAUUUCGUUUCCGAUUUCCAACAUUUUAUUAAGUCAUUAAUGUAUAUUUUAUUUUAUGACUUAAUAAGUGUCUUAAUACCCUUAGAACUCAUUCUAACGUCUGAUAUUAAUGAUCGGAACAUUUCUAGAAUCAACCAUAUCGGGUUACGGCAAAUUGGUCGGGCGCGACCAAAAGCCCUGUCUAACGCGGUUAUCGGGUAGAAUUCUACCGUGUCCCGAACUUGGACACUAUUUAAAGUGAUCCAAGUCUUCAUUUUGAAGCUUUUUCUCAAUUCUACAACUUUCACACCAACCUCUCUCCUAAAUCGAAGUUUAAGGGUCCAAAUCUCAAGUUAAAGGCUUCUAAUCACCAAGGUAUCUUCCCUAGCUUGUUAUGUAACCACUUUAGCCUUCAAAUUAGAGAUUAAUCUAUGGAUUAGGACCAUUACCAUGAGUUUACGGCCCUAGAACAGUCCUAGGCCGUAAACUCAUAUAAAUGGGGUUUUUGGAGCAACAACACCCUUCUAAACCACAAUUAGACCUUAGAUAUGGCUAGAUGACUUUAUGGAAUGGGUUUAGAAUGCCUUGAAGCAUAAUUUAGAGCCUUGUUUAUGAGUUUACGGCCCAGGAAGGUGUCUAGGCCGUAAACACUAUAUUAUAAGGGUUUUAAGCCCUUAAACCCUUCCAUGGCUCAAACAAGAUUUAGAUACGACUUGUAGAAUAUUGGUUAUGGACCUAGAACACUUCAAACAUGAAUUAUGAGGGGUUUGUAUGAGUUUACGGCCAAGGCAUGUGCUUGGGCCGUAAACUCCUCAAACAUGAGUGUAAACUCACUUCUAAGGUGUUAGAAAGCCAUCCAACACCACCAAAAGCCUUGGAAUAAAUCAUAGAACCAACCAAAAAUAGUUUAAGGACCUUAAACACCUCAAAACUCUCCAUUUGAGAGUUUACAGCCAUAGAAGGUGCUCCAUGGCCGUAAACUCCAAAAACACCCCAUAAGUCCCAUAAAACUUCAUGAAAGGCCUUGGAACAAUUUUAGAAAUCACAUGUGAUUGAUUUGGAAGCAUUAAAACAAUUAUUCAAGGGUGCAUAGGAGUUUACGGCCGUAAGCUCCAUGCUAAGGCCGUAAACUCCCUUAAGUAUGUCCAUUGGUGUUUAAAAUUCAUUCCAAGCCCUUAAACCAAACCUAGAAAUUUUUCCCUAAGUGUUUCAAGCAAAUUUGCACCAUAAACCACCCCACCAUGAGUUUACGGCCGUAAACUCAUGGGGAAUGGCUGUUCUAGGCCGAAAAUUCUUGUAAGAGUUUACUCUUGAAGAGUAAACUCCAUUUCCUGGUCAUUCAAGUCCUUAAACACCACCCGGGUCCUUCCAAACACUUGUAAUGGGGUGUUUCCGCAACUAGAAGUGUAUGUCCUUAACAAAUAAAUUAAUCAUGUCCUAAUUAAAUAAAAAUAUGUAUCAUUUCAUAAUCCAUAGGAACCUUGUGCGUUCGCGAACCCAGAACUGACGUUUAGGAUCCAAACCGACGCGUUUCUCAACCGGUGAGUUCAUACCCCUACCCUUUUUCCGUGUUUUCAAUGGUUUUUCAAUGUUUUCAGGGGGGGAAUNGGGUUUUUUAAUGUUUUGAGGGGGGGGGGGGGGAAUAAAAGCAAAAGUACAAGUGUAUUUUGUACUUAAACUGAUUUUCAACUCAUUGGUUUUACUUACUAAAUGUCUUGAUUUCCAAAGAUUUGUGGUAACUGACGUUUCGAAUUGCAGGUUAAACAUAGAUUUCUUUUAAAAAGAGUUAUAACUACAUUCUUUUUGAAUAAGAAAUCGUACUAAUCAUAUUUAAGAUCAACGAAUACGAAUACGAAUACGAAUACAAAUACGAAUACGAAUACGAACAUGAAUACGAAUGCGAAAAGACGCCUUUGGUUGACACUAAGACUUCGAAUAUACAGUUAGUGUACUCCUUGAGUGUCACCAGAGUUUCAAAUCUGAUAUGAAAAUACGCCUUUGGACCUCUUCUGAGUUUCAAAUAAGUCCGCCUCAGAAUGUCGACAGAGCUUCGAAUACACAACUAAUAUACUCUUUUGGAACUCAGCAGAAUUUCGAAAAUACUGUAAUGUACGCUUCUGUGUGAUUCCAAAACUUCGAAAAUACAACUAAUUUAGUAGAUUAUAGUUAUCCGAAAGUAGAAUAACUAAGGUUUUAGAACACAUAACUAAUACUACUCACAUGGUAAUUACUAGUACUUCGAAAUCAGACUUAAGAACCAACAUCAAGACAUAGGAAAAUAUGGGAUUUUCCUGGGAUAACAUAACAAUCAGUAACGAACCAAGAUACAAAUAGACAACUUAACACAUAGGAAAAUAUGGGAUUUUCCUGGGUAGUACAACAACACAUAAACGGAUAAAGUAACAAACGAAUAACUAAAACUAUAAGGAAAAUAUGGGAUUUUCCAGGAAUGACAUAACCAACCAUUUUCGAAAUUAUAACAAAGGAUAACCAAACCGUUUUCAUAAGAAAAUAUGGGAUUUUCUUGAUCAACAACUUUUCCAGAAAGUAAAGGAACUCAUUCUUUUCAAAACUAAACCGCUUAUGAAAUCACCAGCUUUAUGCUGAUUUUCAAACCGCUUGUAUUCUCAAGUCAGCGUUAGACAGGUACACCACAACCAUCUAGAGAAGACGGAGCGUCCCGAAGACUCGUCUUUACUUUUGUUUAUAUUACAUAUGUAAAAUACUUGUAUAAUUUUUCUUUCAAACUGAUGUAAACAAUAUUAUGUAAUGUAAUGUUUUGUGUUUACUGUUUUACUAUGUGCAUUGGAUUUGAUACUCAACAUGGAGUUAACCCUGGAAAUGUUUCCGCCUUCGGUUUUCGGGGUGUGACAUCCUUCUUCUUCAAAAGCCAAACACAACAAGUCAUCACCCCACUAGAUCCAUAUGAGAAAAUCACCAAGAUUCAAACUUUAUGCUUUCUGGAGCUAGAUCAACAUGAUUGGGGCUUGGAUCCACAAGCUCCAAGCCAAGCAAUGCUUCCUCAAGAAACUCCUUCUUCCACAAUAUGCACCAAAAACUCACUAAAUCACCAAAAUGCUCAAGAAUCACUCAAAUGGAGGCUUAGGGUCGAUUUCUAGGGUUUAGAGGGAUGGAGGCUGAAGGUAUUGGGGUUAGGUUAUGAGAUAAGGACCUUAAAUAGGGUCCAAGACCCUAAAAUGGCAUUCAGGUCCGUUUGGCGUACGCCCAUCGUUCAUAUGAUACGCCCAGCAUACUCUGAAGAACUUUCACGACCCUCCCUGGUCAAUACGCCCAACGUACUCCAAAUUACGCCCAGCGUACUCGGCUAAGCCUAAAACCACAAAACUUCUGAAGGCCAUAACUUCUUCGUUAUAAGUCCAUUUCUGACGAUCCUUAUAUCCACGGAAAGCUAACGAGAAGCCCUACACCUCUAUCAACUUUAUUCCUCCUGAAUCCCACUCGAACUCAAAUCCAAAAUUCAUGAAAAGCUCGAACCAGCGCCUUAACAAUACAUUCGGGCUCUAAAGCACAACCGAACUCUUUUAUUACACAACCUACCUCACCCACAUCCCAAUAGGGAAUAACCUUUCUCUUUCAACGCCUCAAAACCUUCUCAUACUCGGAUUAAGGCCUACGGGCCUUAUAUCACAAAAUAAUCCGGAACAGGGUGUUACAUCAUAAGCAUGAUUUGUCAAAGUUAUUAGAAGAAUCAAUAUUUAAGUUAACGUUGUUAUUAUUAGAAACAAAAAUAACACUUUCAUAUAUGAAACUGCAAGGAGAAGAUUUAACCAUAAAACAACCAUAUUUAAAAACCAAAAUAUCACCUAUUUCAUUAUCAAAUGAAAAACGAAAUCCUUGUUUAAACAAUGCAUGAAAUGAAAUAAUAUUUCUUGUCAUAUUAGAUUAGUAACAACAAUUAACUAAAUUAAUCCUAACUCCACUACUAAGUAUCAGCUCAAAAUCUCCAUUCAUCGAGACAGGUGGCGUUCGUCUACUCCCCAUAAUCAGAUUUAUCUUCACAUGAUUAAGCUUCCUUCUUUCCUUUAGACGCUGUAAUAAAGUGCAUAUGUGAGUACCGCAUCCUGUAUCAAGAACCCAUGAAUUUAAAGCAAUAGUAUAAUGGAGUUCAAUCAUAUAAGUACCUAAAGUGGAGCCAAUCACUUUGACAUUACCAUCUUUGAAAUCUUUCAUGUACUUAGGGAAGCUUCAUUUCCAAUGCCUCUUAAGGCCACAAUAAAAUCAGUUUGGCUCUUUCGAAUCAUUGACUGAUGAAAUAGAGGACUCACUUUUGCGUUUCCACCUUAAUGAUAAGGUGUAGUUAAAGCCUUACCUUUAUAUUUGGGAUCAGAACAUUUCAUCUUCUUUUCACCACCAUUUUGAAUGGAAAGGAUUAGGGCUCGAGAGUUUACUGGAGCAUUCUUCGGUCCAGCUUCUGCAGUUUAGAGUAGGUUCUAUAAUUCCAUCAGUGUCUUAUUCAUACUAUUUAAAGAUAAUUCAAUAUGAAAUUAUCAUAUAAACAAGGGAGAGGGCCAAUCAUAAGAUCUACAAUAAGGUUCUUGUCACAAAAAAAUCAGGAUUCUCAAUUCGGUCUAUGUAGCUCUUCAUUUAUUGAACAUGACCACAUACCAAGCCUCCCUCCUUAAUUUUUCAUAGUGUUAGGGAUCUCACAACAUCAAAUCAUUCUUGCAUAUCUCUUUAUUGAAACAUUUCAGCCAACUGCAAGUUCAUCUCAUAUGUCUAAUCAUUCUUGAAAUUCUUUUAGAGAGUUGAGCAUGUAGAGGCGAUCAUGAUGUAGAAAAUCUUAUUUGAGUCUUCAAUAUGUUUGUGGUGAGCAACCUUAUAUUCCUCACUAGAGAAAUCAUCAAUGUCGAGAAUAGGAUUAUCAAGAAUGUACUCACGAUCAUCAUACCUUAAAGUUAUCCUAAGGUUACAUAUCCAAUCGAGAUAGUUUUCCCAGCCAGUGAUAUUUUCCUCUAGAGAACAGAUAGUAGGGAAAAUUUUGAAUUUGUAGGUGCACGACUAGGUAGGAGAAGAUUUUCAUCAAGACUAGGCAUAUGAACUAAGAAAGAUAGUUUUCUUAGUUGAUUCAAUCCUUAUAUGAUCACCCAAUUUAUAUUAAGGCUAGGAUCCAUAUUUUAGAUUCGAGUUAUGAAUAGAGAUACCAUAAUCAUAUCAAAAUUUUAUUUUAAGUAGGUAAAACUAUUUAUCUAUGAAAUUCCUAGAUCUUUUGAGAUUCAAUAAAACUAUUUAAUGGCAUGUUAAUCUCGGAUUUGCACAUCUUCUAUGUGUUCCUAGGAUAUUGAGGUCUCACAAAUAAGAUGGUGAACCAUCCGUGUAAAACCCAUGUAACCCCUUGAUUAUGUUAUGGUCUCAAGUUGAUGUGUCAUUUAACCACACACUCUACCAACAACCCAUAAGUACCACAUCAUCUUCUUCUUACAAUUCAAAAUUAUGUGUCGGUUACUCACAAACGCUAGAUAAAUUGACAAUAAGCAAUAAUGUACAACGUUAAUGGAUUAGAAACUAAUCAUAUUUUCUAAUAUAACCAAGAUGAGAAUUUUGUUUUAGUACUUUAUAUGUUAUACUUUUAACAAGACAUUGUCCUAUCAAACCUGUUUGGCUAACGACAAUCAACCAUAUAAAGAAGUGGUGAGUGAAAAUGAAAAUAUGUAACAACCCGUUUCAGAGGAGGAAUUCCAUUCGCUUAUUGGGAAUUUUGUUUCAAAGGGAAGUAGAAGGAUGGUGUAAGAUUGGAUGUCAUUUAUUGCAACUAUUGAAAUAUGAGAUGUUAGUGUUUCACUCAUUGGCAUGGCGCGGUGUCAGUCCUUGGGCUAAUGGCUUUUUGUUGGUAAUUGGGCCUAUAUAAGGAAAUCUAAAUCCUUGAGUUUGUCAUUUGCAUCCUACACAGUCUCCAUAACCUUUCUUGAGAGAAACCCUAUCCCCUUUUGAGUGUUAAAAUUUCCACCUCUCUCCUAAGCAAAAGUUUGGUGCUCUUUUGGUGAUGCUUGUGUUCUAGAGUGAAGAAGAAAAGAAAGCUUGGGGUUUGGUUUCAUUACAAGUGAAGAUUUAUCCAUCCUUUGACUUUUGGAACUUUGUAAAUCCUAAAGUUCAUUGUUUUAUUGGUUUGAACCAUAGGAUCUAGGAGUAUUUUGUGUUUUAUUUCAUUAUGUGAUGCUUUGGCCCUAUGAAUGGUUUGAUCUUGGAAGUUUGGACAACUCCAAGAGCUUAGAAUCAUAUUGGACUUCAGAUCUGACUUUAUGGUAAAGUUUAGAGUGCAUGCAUGAUCCCUCUUUACUCCAAACUUAAAGAAAGGUGCAUUCUUCAAUCUAGGGGUUUGGAUCCUUGGAAUGGAUAAGGUUGGAAACUGUAUCCAUCAAGACACCUGUGGUCAGAUCUGAGAGUUAAAGGCAUGGAAUUAAUGGAUUAACUUAAUUUUUUAGAAGUUGAUAGUGUCCACGAUGUGACACGUCCUAGGCCGCAUCGUGGUGGUUGCUGUAGUUUGAUCCUCGUCAGAUUCCAGCCAAGCAACCCAACUAUUUUGUUCUUUUGUGACCAUGGCACGGUCAAGUGGUUUUGCCGGGGCGUGGUGAUCUGUGAUGGUUGACUGUUUACUUUGACCAUUGGGUUUUUUCCACUUUGACUUUUGGUCAAAAUUUAGUAUAAGUGGGUAUUUGACUAAGUAUUGGUAUCAGUUUAGAAUAGAUAGCUUGCCCUAGCUAUUAUGUUGUUGAGGUCACUGUUGUAGUUUGGUUUUUUAGCUCAUGUUAUUUUCCUCACUAUACUAUGUGUUAUAAUGUAUAUCCUUGCGUGGUAGGAUAUAAGGGAGUACUUGUAUGUUGGCUAGAGUAUCGAUGGGUUGGGUGAUCAUUGGAAUGAAUGUCGUAAGGGUUGUAUAUAUUUAUGUAAGAAAGCCUGAGAACUCAUGUCUAGGCUUUCUUGCCCAUUCCAUGUUUGGUUGUAUCCUUAGAGUUAGAUUAUCUUUUUGACUACCUAUCUUAUCCUUGAUUACAUUCGACUGUGCCUUCAUUUAGUGAUCUACCAGCUAUAGUGUAGUGUGCAAUUUGAGCCUCAGUAUGAUGUGAACUUGAUGUAGCGAAUUGUUAGACAGGUAGACCACUUAGAUAAGUUCCUGUGCUAUUGAAUUGUUUGUUUUCCUGUAUAUUGUAUAUAUUUGUUGACAUAUCUUUUGGUGGGUUGAGCGCGGUCCUAUUUUGUGCGUUAGGCCAAGAUACCCAAGCGGGCUAGCGUUACGCUGAAGGCCAGAUGCAGACCAACUUUAUAUCAUAAGCGAGUGGAGCAGACCAAUCAUGGACUGAAAGCCAAUGUUGUAUGCUUGUAUGUAUAUUAUGGUGUGUGGUAUUUUAAGGGAACUCACUAAGCUUUGGCUUAUAAUUAUGGAUUAAAUGUUUCAGGUACUUCAGAUAAUCAUGGAAAGGCGAUGGCAUGACGGUACAUACAUCUGAUGGGUUUUGGUCCUAAGAACAUCCUAUGUGCUCAUACAAACCCUAAUGCUUGGAUCUAGGUUUCUCUAUUGUACAUGCAAGUUAUCCAAGACUAUAAACCCUAAUUCUAGAAUUCAAGUAAUCAUAUUAACAUGAGAAUAGGUUUAAGAUGUUACCUUGAUUGUUAUGUAGCAAUAACAAUCCCAAAUCUCCUUGUAUUGACUUUAGGAAGCUUAGAGUCACAAUUUUCACUCCUCUAAUGGUUCACAAACACCAUAAGCAAGAGGAUGAAGAGAAGAGAGGAUGGAGGCUACCAAAAAACGUGUGAAACCCUAGAAGGUUGCUUAGCCACGUUUUUGGUCAUAAGGGAUCUCUUUAUAUAGGAGGCAAUUAGGGUUAUCUAACAAGGAAACCCUAAUUUGGAUGCUUAAGCCCUAAGCAACCCAUGGAGCCCUUUCCUUAAGGCCUUGGACGAUUUCAUAUGGGCUUCCCCCAUAGAAUUCGUCCACCUUAUAAUAAAAGGCAAUCCAUGGCCCAAAUUGCAAUUAUCUUAUAAUUACAAUUCCAGUCCCUUAAGUUUAAUUAAUCUCUUUUAGUCACAAAACUAAUUACCAACUAAUUAUUGACUAAUAUUAAUUAAACAAUAUGAUUUCUCCUUUAAUAUAUUAUUCUCAAAAUAUAUUAAUAAAUCAUAUUUAAUCCUUUCUCUCCAUAAUUCAUCCUAUCAAGUUGCUUUGGUGAAGGCAACCCAAAAGGACCAUGCACCAUCGGGUCAAGUACAUACCAAAAUAGUUAUGGACUUAGACACUAAUCCAACAGUCUCCCACUUGGAUAAGUCUAAUAACUAUUAUGCGUAUGACUUCAGAUCCUGAUCUGCAAUCGUAGCUUUCCAAAGCCGCUGUCAACUCUGAUCCUAUCAGAUACGCGUGUCCUUAGAUAAGGGAUCAUAUAUUCCUCCAUUCUAGAUAUCAUAUGAGAUAUGAUUUCAAAUCAUUCUCUUUGUACUAUAUCUCGAUUCCCGAUUUAUGACGACUGACUAAUUGAACAAAUCAAAUUAGCCCUAGCCCGGCCGAGCAUUUACGUUUGUCAUCACUAAAUCAUCGAGGGGCCCAAAGAUAUCGCUUUUAUCCUACUUUGGAUAAAAGGAACGGAUAAACUUUGAUACAAUGCUUGCUUGCACUCACUCACCGAAUCACACACAACAAUAUGUUUUAUAACACCAAGUUACUAGUGCGUUUACAUAUUAUCAAUGUGCAACCGAUUUGCAAGAUACAACUCACACAUCUCGGUUUCAAGAAUAUAAGAUGUUAUCGUCUCACCAAUCACUCGUGAUACAAUUCAUGGAGUGAUCCAAGUGAGCGUGGGUUUAAUCCAAUGCUCAAAUCAUAUUCAUAAGCACUCAUGAACGUUGCAGCAAACAUUUGCUUAUGUCUAAUACUCUUUUAGACAAUCCACACACCAAUUCACGACAGUCUUCAUUCAUAUCUACUUCCAACAUAUGAACGACUGUGGCCCGUUUGAAUAAUUCGAUUAUUCUUAAUAAACUCAAUUAUUCUGGAAGUCAAAACAUGCAAAUGUGAAACACAAGAAUAAUACUAAUCCCAUAUGGCCUCAAACCUUUGAGUAUAAAUAAAACUCCUUUUAUUUAUCACCAUAUCGAUUACUCAUUAUUUGUCGUUUCGGGUAAUCAACUUCUUACUUGAAUUAUUACACUUGUCCCAUGCUCCUAGCAUGCACACAAUGUUUACCUAUGGUUCUUACUUUGUGAAAUAGAUCAAAUUGAACACAUUUCCAAUCAUUCUCAUUUCACAACUCCAAAUCCUUUUUCAUAAGUGUGAGAAUAUCAAAUUCUUGUUACUUAUAAAAUAUGCUAGAUUCUAACAUUCUAUGCAAUGAUCCUUUCGUAAUGUCACUGCACCAAAGUCACAAAGACUAUUGCCAAUGAUAUUACAAAGUCCUCUAUCGGAGAUUGUUACAAGACAAUUCCUUAGAUAUGAUGUCUCUCACUCAAAGUACAUUCCUUUGAACAUCCUUUUGCAUAAAAGUUUCUAAUCUAGACAUAGAUUUUCAAUAUUCAAUUCCCAAUAUGGACACACUUCCAUAUUUUCCAUAUGACAACUCAUUCUUAAUAGAAUCUUAUCUAUUCGUAAUGAUGUCGAUAUGGUCCAUCCAAUAUGGAAACAUUUCCAUAAUUUCCAUAUGACAACUCAUUCUUAAUAGAAUCUUUUCUAUUCAUAAUAAUGUCGAUAUGGUCCAUCCAAUACCAUGCUUCCAACUACUCACAAGCGACCAAUCCUCGUCGAACUUUGGAUUGUCCUUUGAUAGUUG